Molecule: long non-coding RNA, 50627 nt
Filed under: Prunus persica (peach)
Lineage: Eukaryota; Viridiplantae; Streptophyta; Magnoliopsida; Rosales; Rosaceae
Description: long non-coding RNA (PPER_LNC001496)
Source: RNAcentral
ACAAAUGAAGAAAAGAGCACAAAUGACGUUGGCAAACCUGAAACUUUCCCAUUGGGCAAUAAACAUUACUCCAGUCAAAAACAUUAUGGAAGAGGCAAACCUGAAACUUUCCCAUUGGGCAAUAAACAUUACUCCAGUCAAAGACAUUAUGGAAGAGGCAAACCUGAAACUUUCCCAUUGGGCAAUAAACAUUACUCCAGUCAAAGACAUUAUGGAAGAGGCAAACCUGAAACUUUCCCAUUGGGCAAUAAACAUUACUCCAGUCAAAAACAUUAUGGAAGAGGCAAACCUGAAACUUUCCCAUUGGGCAAUCAGCAUUACUCCAGUCAAAAAAAGUAUGGAAGAGGUGCUUCUCCAUCCGACAAUCAACCACCAAUUCCAUAGAAAUUCAAACACGGCUACUUUCUUGCCACGAGAAAGCGCUCAAUCGAUCCCCUUCUCCUCUAACAAACUACCAGAAAUUUUCAACCAUUUUUCAGUGAAGCCAACAUCUGAGGAAGCCAAAACAAUUAAGCAAACAAUCGAAGAGUGUGAAGCUCCAGACCUUAAGGGAGAGGAAAUAUAUUGCGCCACAUCUUUAGAAUCAAUGGUUGAUUUUAGCACUUCGAAGCUUGGAACAAGAAACGUUGAAGCAAUCUCGACGGAGGUAUUGGAAAAAGGAGCCACCAUGUCCAUCCAAAACUAUACAACAAUGCCGGGACUGAAGAAGUUGGCAGGUGACAAAGUCGUUGUGUGUCAUAAGCAGAACUAUCCCUAUGCUGUGUUUUUCUGCCAUGCAAUAAAACAUACAGCAGCUUAUGCUCUCUCCCUGAAAGGCGAUGAUGGGGAGAAGGUUAAAGCAGUAACCAUCUGCCAUCUAGACACAUCAGAAUGGGACCCAGAGCAUAUGUCCUUCAAAAUCGUCAACGUUAAGCCCGGAACCAUUCCCAUCUGCCAUUUCAUUUCCACUGAUGCUAUUGCCUGGGUUCCGAACCACAAAUCUGCAUGAUCAUCACUUAGCACUAGUACUGUGCGUAUAAUAUGCCUGUAUAAUUAUCUCCCUACUUAUUUCUGCCUGUUCAUCAUGUGGUGUAAGAUAUAUGUUGAGAUGAAGUUUUUGGGAUUAGUGGUCGAAAUUAACCCGAUCAUGUUUUCUCUUGUAACUAUAUAGACUUCAACUUGUACUCAUAAUAAAGCAUGCUAUAUUUAUGAAGAGAUAUUAAUCUUCAGGCAAAUAGAUAUUAUGAAAACAUAUAUAGCAAUUUAUCCAGAAGAAAUAUUAUGAAAUGAAAAGAAUAAAAAGUAAAAAAACAGAAGGAAAGGAAUUCGCACCUGCUAUGUAUGAAAGGACCAAGAUUGUUUUCCCUUUGGUUAAUGACUAGAAAAGCUCACUUGCAGAUUGCUUUCUCUGACCGUAGAUGCAACAGAAAUUUUCUCUUAAUAAUAGCACAAUGAUCGGGUAAUUGUAAGAACAAGUUGAUUUAAAAUUCCUUGACCCAAAAAAAAAAAAAAAAUCAUUUCAAAUUCAGGUCAACCCAUAGAUUUCUUGCCUUUUUCUUCUUCAUCACGUUGGGCUUGUCUUCUUCUUGAGGAUUGUAUAGGCCCAGGAAAUGCUUUGAGGUAGUUUUUGGCCUUGGAAGUUGGGACCCAACCCAACUUCACAAAAAGAAAACAGAUUUGCCAAAAAUCAAAUUUCAAGUCUCUCCUCAGAUCACUAAUACAGAUCAAAUUUUGGAUUUGAUGAACUAAAGUGGUUUUACUUUCUCUGUCAGUGUUUGAUGACUUAAUUUGUUAUUUACUUCUUUUUUUUUUUUUACUUGAUCUUUGUAGGGGUUUUUUUCUUCCGGUAACUUAAACGGGCUGGGCUGCCGUAAAGGGUAGAUUGAUGAAAUUGUCUCCUUUGUCUGAGUUCGAAAAUCAAGCCCCAAAAGCGCUUCGAAAGGGCAGUAGAGCCUUAGGAAGCGUUCUAGUCAUCUUCACCAACUAAAACAACAGCAACUUACAGAUGAUUUCUUAAGGCUUACAGAUAAAUUUUCUAGCUUGGCAUGAGAGGCUUGUGACAUGGAAGCAAAAUCAGCAUGAGUUUAGCACCAAAGAGGAAAAUAUGGCUUCCUAGGGAGAAAUGGGAGUGUUUAAGGUGAGGAAGAAGAGGUUUGCAGGCUGAUUUGGCUGAGGAGAGAGAAAGAAAGAACAAUGUUCUUCCAGUAGCUUGACAAAGCUUCUGACAGAUGUGAAAGUCGUCUGCCAUAAGAGGAAAAUGAAGAAGAAUGGUGAAUAGUGCAUGAAAUUGCUGGGUUUUUGCAGGUAAGAGAGAAAGCUUGCUCUCUGAAUUUGAGUUGGUUUUUGGUUGGGUAGAAGAGGCCCCCUUUUAUAGCUGCGGGAAACCAUCUUUUUUCAAGAAACCCUAAUGGUUUCUAUCCAUUUUGGCCAAGCUUUUCCCUUCAUUUCUCUUCUCCUCCCUUGACUUUUCCUAUCUUGGUGAAAUUUCCUCUGCCUAUUUGCACAAAAUUAGAGAUUUUGAGGAGCUCAAGACCCCUUUCCCGCAGCUGCCUCAGUGGAGAAUCCCCAUUUUCAGUCAUCUUUCUUCCUUCUUUUCUCCCAUCUUCCAAGGUUAGGUCUGAUGAGGGAAAGAAAUGGGUAUGCACACUGGUUUGAAGGGUAUUUUUGCUUGAAACUUGUUCUCUCCCAUGUGCUGGAGCUUCCCAGCAACUUACACACAUGGAUAUUUUGGCUUUCAUCGUGGCUUUUGUUUUCAGCUAGGUGCUGGAGAUUUCGCAGAUAUUUUCAUGAGUUGCUUGGGCCUUCUAGGACAAUAGGUUGGUUUAUCAAGUGAAUGGGCUAACUUCAUCAAUUGUUGGGCUAUUUUGGUUGAGUUAAUGGACUAUUUUGGUUGAAGUAAUGGGCUAUUUUGGUUGAAUUAAUGGGCUAUUUUUCUCUCUUUGUGCUCACCCACAUAUUUGGGCCUAAGAAAUGGGCUUGAGUUCCGGGGCUCCCAAGCAACCCCGGGACUUCCAUUUCUCGGCCCAUCAAUGGGCCUCAUAUCAACUUAUUACCAUCCAUAUCACAACCCACUCAAGCAAGCCCUGGGCAUCUUGCGUGGCUUGGGCCCACUUAAGCUUGUAGCGUGACGUGUUGCUUAUUUGCUUGGCAUGGCAUGUGUGCAAGCGCAUAUGACGAACUUUAGCGUGCCCAAAUUGGGUUUAUUCUCGGUAAGGUAUCGCAUUGGGCCGAGAAUUUAAUUGGGCAGAACUGUGGAUUUUUGGGCCUCAACAAUCUUAUAUAUAUUGGUUUUCUUUUUUUCCUUAAUAUUCACCACCUUUCUGUUGCAUAAGUAUUUCAGUCUUAACGGGUUUCCAUCUACCACUCAUCUUUGCUCUUUUAAGUGUAAGCUUUUUUUUUUUUUUUUUAAGCACAAGAUUAGAGGGGAGGGGGAUUUCUCAAUGUAAGCUUUGCAGUUUCAUAAUUAAUAUUUCCAAUAUCUCACUGUUAGUAAAAUAUGGAACAGGAAAAGUAUGAAUAAAAUACACACAUGUUUUAUUUAGCAAAAUUUUGACAAGAUACAACUGAAAAGUUUGGCCACUAUAUAAUAUUUUGAUAUAAUUUCUACACUUCUUCUCAAAAGAUUAGAUCACUUCACAUCUUGUGUAUGUGAAAACUAAUGUAAAAAGUUGAAACUUUAUCGUAAAACCUCGACAAAAAUGAGCUCUACUAGAAAAUGUUCAAUUUGGAUUCGUUGAUUUAAAUGGCAAUUUGACACUUGAUAGAAAUUUUUACAUACAUGUGUUAGUGUUUGAUCACUUCACAUGUUACUUACUAUAUUUAUUCCACUCAAGUUAGGUAAAUAUUAUUAUCAAACAUUUCAAUUAAUUUGUGAUUUUUUUAUUAUUUAAUCAAUUAUGAAUUAAUGGAUUCUUCUUGUUGUUUUGAAGACCAAUAAAAAAAAAAGGGUAAGGAUGGCUUAUAACUCUGAUAAAACAACAGUGACGUGGACAGCAGAUGUUACACCGUACUGAAGAUUUUUGAAGAUUCUUUAUUUGGGUUUCUUUCAAGAUGAAAACCAUAUUAUCCACAACCACAAUGAAGAAGACAGAAAAUGGAGUAAUUCAGAUGUUACCAGCCAUCCACGACAAACUGAAGUCUGCAAAGCAUUCGUAAUCUAAAGGGAGACUUUGGAAAAGCCCAAAGGAGAGAGAAAAUUUUUAAAAGAAGCAAAAAUGGACAAAAUUGCCCUUAUUUAUUUUUUGAUUUCCUAAGAAAUCCUUUACAUUUGCAUGUCUUUGGUUUGAAAGUUGAGAGGUUAUUCUGUCUUUUUUCAAAAAGCUUUGGCUUUUUCCAAAAGUGAAAGUUUUUUUAUGGGUAAAACCUAAAUUUACUUAAUCCCUAAAAAGGAUGGGGAGGCUGCGCAAUACUUAGCCACGUGUAGGCCAGGAGGCUUUCCAAUUUUAAUAUAUAUAUAAAUUGAAAAAAUAAAAUAAAAAUCAAUCUAUUAUCCUAUAUAAAAUAAAGAUUAUUGCUUCCAUGGGCAGUGCUAUGCACAGGACAGUGCCUGCCCAGCACAAAUUUUUUUUAAAUAAAAAAAAAAAAUCUACAUAUGUUAUAAGCUCAUCCAAAAAAAUAAAAUAAAAUAAAAGUAAAUUCUACAUAUAUGUUGCCCAUCUAGGUGGUUCCAUAUCUUCUCUCUCCUUCUCUUUUGGCUAUUAGACUUCUUGUUUCUCUCUCUCUCUUUGCUACCUCACAUCAGCAAGUUUCUCCCUCUCUUUUUUUGGGGUCAAAUUCUUCCUCUAUUGACAAAAUCUUCUAUUAUCUUGGGUGGGCAACUUGGCAACAACAUCUUCUCUUCUCCUUUUGUCAACAACAAGUAUUAUUCUCAUUCUCUCAUUUGCUAUAUAUCUUUAAUUAUAGUUUUAAUUUAAAAUUGAGUAUUCUAGGGUUUAAUUAGGGAUGAAUUAUAAUUUUAGAAUUUUGUUGAAAUUAAUUAAGGCUUCGAUUAGGGGUGAAUUAUUCUACUGCUUUGGUUUGGAAUUUUGUUAAAAUUGAGUAUUAUAGGGUUUAAUUAUGGAUGAAUUAUAAUUUUUGAUUUUGGUAUUAUUGAGAUGUUAUUAUGAGAAUUUGUUUCAUUUUUUUAUUGGUAUAUUUGAUUAAAAUUCUUUCUACAUAUUAUUCAUAGGCUAUCUUUUAUUAUGUCGGAUCACAAUCGGAAUCCCAAGAGAACAAAGAAUUUGAAUAGUGUUGUUUUGUAUUGCAUUGCAUUUACUUUUGGUUUUAGUUUUGCUUUUAGUGUAAAUUACUCAAAUGGUCCUCAAAUUUGUACCCGAUUUACAUUUUGGUCCAUAAACUAAAUUAUUCAUUCAAAUGGUGCACCAACUCUUUAUUAAUCAGUGCUUUGGUCCUACCGUUAUGUUUUCUAUUAAAUUUAGUCAUGUGAGCAGCACAUGCUACAUUUGUAGGGGUAAAUAAGACUUUUGACCACUUUAUCACCUAUGUAUCACCACUUUAUAACCUAUUUGGAGAACAUAGGUCAGUUAUGGACGGUUUUACAAUUAUAUUUGACGGCAACAUUAACAUAAUGUAACAGUGGGAUCAAUGGAGCGAUUAAUAUAGAGUUGAUGGACCGUUUGAACGAAUAAUUUAAUUGAGGGACCAAAACGUAAAUUGAGUAUAAGUUUGAGGACCAUUUGAGUAAUGUACCCUUCGCUUUUAUAUUUGUUGAACUUUUAUUUAUGGAUAGAUAUGCAUUUGAGGGUAAGACCCAUUAUGUUCCCCCUGACUUGGUGUAUCUUUUUAUGUUUAUUAAUGAAAUUCACUCGAACUGUUGAGUUUAGUAUGUAAGUUUUGCCUAACCGGCUUUUGAAUCCUAGAACCGCCACUGUUGCUCCAUCCUCCAUGCACUUGCAUGUGCUCUUACAAAGUGUGAAGUAGAUUUUGUGUGCUCCAAGUCAUUGACUAGAGCUGAAACAUGGUUAGCUAGAUUUAUAAGGACCCAUCUCUCUAUUUCCUAGACAUAUACCCAUCUCUCUAUAAAUCUAUAUGUAAAACUCAAUUUCAAACUUAAAUGACCAGUAAGAUAUAAGAGGUCAUAGUAUUCCUAUGUUUUUACAUCGUUGCCACCAGACUUCUUAUUUUAUUUAUAAUUUAUUUCAAGCAUUUCAUUAACUGCCAUAAUUGUAAUUAAUACUCCAUAUUAAUAGCAUAUCAAUCACCCCAUUUCUUUUGAUUGCCAUUCCCUCUAACAUAUCGCCCCUUAAAAUUGAAAACCAAAAAAAAAAAAAAUGUAAAUUACAUAUCCAAUAAUGUACCUAUGAAAAAUAUAAAUAUAAAUAUAUACGUAUAAAAAUAUAGGUUUAUUAUUUACCAAAUAAAAAAUAUAAAAAAACUAGGUCAGUUGCUUUGUAAUUGAAAUUUCUAUACAUUUUCCACAAAUUAAAAAUAGGUACACAAUAAUUUAUAGAAAAUAUAGGUGCAUUAUUUAUCCAUAGGUAAAAAUACCUAUAAAUGCACAUAGGUAAAUUAUUUACCCAUAUAUUAUUUUUUUGCUAAGGAUUUACCUUAGUUUUUAGUAGAUUAAUUUACCUACCUAGAGGCAUAGGUAGCUUAAAAAAAUUGUAGCACCUUAGUUGGUUGCAUACUAAUUUACCUACCUAGAGGCAUAGGUUGCUAAGAAAAAAUGUAGGUAAAUUCAUGUACCUAAACACAUAGGGGUCAAAUAGAGAAUAACAUGUUAUUUCCCUUCGAACAAAUUAAUUUCAAACCAUAACAAUAAUUGAAUUCGGAAAUUGGUAUAAAUAAAAGGAAAUAAAUAAGCUAUCAAUUUGAAAAUUAAAAUAAGAAAUGAUCAAGUAGUCAUAUUUGAAAAAAAAGAAAAGAAUAUAUUCUUGGUUUUUAUAGGAACAACGUGUAUAUUCAAACCAAAUGGCAGUAACUACACCAAGCUUUAAUUACUUUUUUUUAAGGCCAAAAGUCACUUUUGGUCUCUGUAGUUUGACACUUCUAUUACUUUUGACGCUGUAGUUUCAAUUCCGUCAAUUUUGCCAUUGUAGUUUCAUAUUUGUAGCAAUUCAAGGACAUGUUAAUAUUAAUGUCAAUUUGUUUAAUGAUGCAAGGGGUAAUUUCGUCAUCCCAAAAUCCUUGAGCAUAAAAGCUUGUCUGAAAUUCUCCCCAUUUCAUAUUAGGGCUCGAAAUUCAACCACUAAUCCCAAUUUUUGAAGAACCCUAUACCCAAAUGACCAAUUUCAAGCCCUAAUAACAAAUUAGGGAAGUUUUAGAUGAGCUUUUAUGCUCAAGGAUUUUGAGUUGAAGAAAUUGCCCCUUGCACUGUCAAAGAAAUUGAUAGGAAUACUGACUUGUCCUUGAAUUGCUACAAAUACAAAAAUACAGGGUCAAAAUUAACAGAAUUUAAACUAUAUGGUCAAAAGUGGUUAAAGUGCCAAACUACAAGGACCAAAAGUGACUUUUAGCCUUUUUGUUUAAAUAAGGAAAAAACUUACCUAUUAAAUCCUUGGAAUCUAUACAAAAUUGAAACACAGUUAAUCAGCAUUGAAUUGCAGCUAAUUUCUUAAACAAGGGUAUUAUAGGAAUUUAAAAAGUAUAACAUUUAAUCCAUUGAGCUUGAUUAGGAAUCUUGAUGAGUUGGAUCCUAGUUAUAUAGUUUCUCUUAUAAAAAUCGGGUUUUAUUUAUAGACAAAUAAAACAAUGGGUUGUAGGUAAGAAAAUAUUAAUUUGAAGGGAAAGUGUCACAUCCUGGGAUCGGCUCCGCCGUAGCACGAUAUUGUCCGCUUUGGGCCCCCCUCUCUGCCCGCACGGUUUUGUUUCUGGGAGCUCACGAGCAACUUCCCAGUGGGUCACCCAUCCUGGGAUUGCUCUGGCCCCCAACUCGCUUAACUUCGGAAUUCCUAUGACUCCGAAGCCAGUGAGCUCCCAAAAGGCCUCGUGCUAGAUGGAUGCGGGUGUGUACAUAUAAGACACAUCACCCCCUCUCCGUUGGUUGAUGUGGGAUCUUACAGAAAGAGUCAAAUUUACUAAAUUAAUAAAGCAUAAAUUGGAAAGGGAAAAGAUCUAGAGGAUGCAUUGUAGGAUUGCUCAUGCCAAUAAUUGCACCCUCUCGAUAUUGAAAAACCUAUUGUGUAUUAUUAUCUUCAAUCAUGAAUGAUGCACCUAAAACCCAAGUGUCCCAAGCCAACCAUUGCGCUCAUACCACUUGUUGCAGUACACAUUCACCCGUUUUUAAAGAAAGAAAUUCUACCAAUCGAUAUUGUCUCAAAUUUAAUCACAUAGGUCUAUUAUGGUUAACCAUAUGUACUUUUAUCGGCCAUAUAGAGGUACCUUUUUCCAACGUGCAACAAUUGUAUUUGAUUCACAAUUAUGUCUGAUAUACAUCACAUCAUGCCACUUGCCUCAAAUGAAUUUAAUUGAGUGAGGCAAUGGGAAGUAAUUAAGCUCUAUAUUGGUGGGUGGAGUGUUACUUCUGGAACCCUCAUCAUUCGUCCAUACAAGGGAACAAUUCCCUUCCUUCUAUAAAAUGGUGAAGCCAGUUGCUAUUGUUUGUUAGAGUUUUAGGAUCUGAGUGUUAGAUUUUGUGAGAAGAGAGAAGAGAAUUUAGUGAAAACUUCCAAUACUGCUCUGCUAUACGUGUAGCAGAGAGAACAUUCUGUUUUGUUAUAUAUUUUCAGUACAACAACACACACUUGGUGUGAGAAGAAAAAUGACUGUUAUGCACAGUACCAGCUGGAUGCUUUCCAUCAAAGUAAUCUCAGCCAUUCACUAUCUAACCAAUCAAGCUAUGACACCUGGACUAAGUAUAAAGAAAUACAACUAAGCAGAAAACAAGACUCUUAAUCCUGAAAUCAACUUAAGCACUUAUAAUUCAACACUCCCCUUUAAGUCUUGAGGUGAUUUCACUCCAAGCAUGCCUCUGAGAUAAUUGAAUCUGUCUUUGGCCAGAGGUUUGGUAAAAAUGUCAGCCAAUUGUUCAUUUGUAGGACAAUAUUCCAGAUUGAUUACCCCUUCUUGCAAUGCAUCCUUGAUGAAGUGAUACCUCCUGUCAAUAUGCUUUGUCUUCUGGUGGAAUACAGGGUUUUUAGUGAUUGCAAUUGCUGAGAUAUUAUCACAAUGCAAUGGAGUAGCUUCAGUUUGAAGCUCUCUAAAGUCUUCUAGCACAAAACGGAGCCAAAUAGCUUGAGUAGUAGCCUCAGCUGCACUGAUGUACUCAGCUUCUGCAGUAGACAGUGCAACACAGUUCUGUUUCACUGAGGCCCAAGAAAAUACUCCACUUCCAAAACUAAACGCAUACCCUGAUGUGCUCUUGCAAUCACCAACUGAUCCUCCCCAAUCACUGUCACAGUAACCAACUAGAAUUGAUCUUUUGCCUUUCACAUAUUCAAGACCAUAGUCCAGAGUUCCUUUGAUGUAUCUCAAAACCCUUUUAGCUGUUCCAUAGUGUCUAUUUGUAGGACAGUGCAUGAAUCUAGCUAGCAAGCUUGAGGCAUACAUGAUGUCUGGUCUUGUAGCAGUUAAGUACAGCAAGCUACCAACAAUGCUUCUGUAUUGUUCUUCAUUUGCAGCUCAACUCCCAUCAUCCUUAGCUAGUUUCUCAGUGGCAACAAGGGGUGUUGUCACAGGUUUGCACUCAGUCAAACCAAACUUGCUCAACAAGGUGCUAGCAUAUUUCUUUUGAUGUAGAAAUAUACUAGACUCAGUCUGAAUAACUCCCAUGCCAAGAAAGUGAUGAAGUAAGCCCAAAUCAGUCAUCUCAUACUUAGCCAUCAUGUCUUCUUUGAAUUCAGCCAACAAUGCUUGACUGCUCCCUGUAUACACAAUAUCGUCUACAUAGAUAGACACAAUUAGAAUCUCCUUAUCUCCCCUUACUUUGGUAUAUAAGGUUGUUUCACUUAAGCUUUUCACAAAACCACAUUGAGUGAAGUAGCUGUCUAUCUCUCCAUACCAAGCCCUUGGGGCUUGCUUCAGACCAUAAAGGGCUUUAUGCAAACGAUAAACCUUGUCUUCUUUACCUUUAAUUACAAAACCUUCAGGCUGACUGACAUAAACUUCCUCUUGCAGCACACCAUUAAGGAAAGCAGACUUCACAUCAAGCUGGAACAAUUUCCAAUCCUUUUGAGCAGCUAGAGCAAUAAGUGUUCUAAUGGUGUCCAAUCUGGCUAUAGGUGCAUAAGUCUCAUUAUAAUCCAGUCCAGGCUUCUGAGCAUACCCCUUAGCCACUAAUCUUGCUUUAUUCUUUUGCACUGAGCCAUCCAAAUUCAGCUUUGUCUUGUACACCCACUUAACUCCAAUCACUGGUUUUUCAGUUAGUCUAUCUACCAAUUCCCAUGUUUCAUUCUUUUCAAUCAUCUGCAGUUCAUCUUCCAUAGCCUUAAGCCAAGAUUCAUCCUGAGCAACAUCAGCAUAUUUUUCUGGUUCCAUGAUACACAAGUUACACUGAGCUAGAACAUCAUCUAGCCUUCUCCAUUUUAGAGGGGUGUGAUCAUAAGCUUGAGUUCUCCUUUCUUCACUGCUUAUAUCACCUGGAGUUGAUGAAAUGCUCUCUUGCAUAUCCAAAGUUUGAGGUGUACCAGUAGAAUUCUCAUUAGAACUGUCAGAUUUCAAGUCCAAAUCAACUUGGUUUUCAAUUGAGUAUGUUGUCAUAACUGAACCAUUUUUGUUUGUCCAAUGCCAAGCAUUUUCUUCAUCAAAUGUCACAUCCCUUGAUAGUAAAAGCUUGUUAGAAACAGGAUCAAAAACUCUAUAUCCUUUUUCACAAGUUGCAUAUCCCACAAACACUCCCUUUGUACUCUUAGGAUCCCGCUUGUGUCUCAAUUCAGUUGGCACAUGAACAUAACACAGAGAACCAAACACUUUCAGAUGUGCAAUUCCAGGCUUCCUUCCACUAUAUGCUUCGAAUGGAGUAAUGUUGUUGAGAGCUUUGGUAGGACAUCUGUUCAGCAAAUAGAUAGCUGUAUGCACAGCUUCUGCCCAUAGGAAAUAAGGCAUUCCCUUCUCAUGUAACAUUGAUUUUGCCAUCUCAAUGACAGUUCUAUUCUUCCUCUCAACUACUCCAUUCUGCUGAGGAGUAUAGGCCAUUGUAAGCUGCCUUUGAAUGCCAUUAGCUUCACAAAACUCCAAAAAAUCAGUAGACAUAAACUCUCCACCCCUGUCACUUCUUAUGCACUGAACCUUGUGUCCAGUUUGUAAUUCAGUCAUGGACUUGAACUUCUUGAAACAAAAGAAGGCUUUUGACUUGUUUCUCAAGAAGUAUACCCAAAUCAUUCUUGUGAAAUCAUCUAUAAUCAGCAUGAAAUAUCUGUUCCUUGCAACAGACUCAUUUCUCAUGGGACCACAGAGAUCCACAUGUAUUAGCACUAGUACUUUGCUUGCUCUUUGAGCUUGAUCUUUUGGAAAAACAUUUCUGUGCUGUUUUCCAAAUUGGCACCCGUCACACACACCACUUUGUUCUUCCAAUUUUGGUAAACCAUGUACCAUUUCUUUAUCACUUAGCUGCUUCAAUCCUCCAAAAUGCAGAUGACCAAAUCUCUUGUGCCAAAUCCAUGUGGAUUGAAGAAAACUAGUCUUCAUUAGUAACUGUUUUUCAGCUAGAAAAGAGACAGGAUAGCAUCUGUUACUCUUCAUUUGCACCUUUAUGAUGAGAUAAUCCAUGGAUGGGCUAUCAAAUACCCUGCACAUCCCUUCUCCAAACACUAGACAGUACCCAUGUUCAUCCAUCUGCCCAACACUUAGCAGAUUUUCUUUCAAUCCUGGCAGAUACAUUACUUCUCUGAUGUAUUUCCUGCCCUUUGCUGUAUCAAUACUCAGUGAGCCAAUACCAGCUACACUCACUAAUGCACCAGUUGGCAUUUGUACUCUCCCAGCUACAUUAGUUCUCACAUCAACCAGCAAAUCUAAAUUUCCUGUCAUAUGAUUGCUGCAGCCACUGUCAAUGUACCAUUCAUUGGUUUUGAUCUCAGUGGUUGAGCAAUUGGCAUAAAACAGGUUUCCUGUAACCUCCAUUUGAUUUACACAAUUAGCCUUCUGCACAUUUUUGCUCACUGUACAGUCUCUAGCAAGAUGUCCAACUCUGUCACAGUUAUAGCAUUUUGGUUUUCCCUUAUACCUGCACUCACCAAAAUGAUGCUUUGAACACACCUUGCAUUGAGGCUUUGUGUUUUCCUGAUUUGAGAACUGUGUUGAAGUGUGGUUCUGUGCAGAAUAAUUAUUCUGCUGUGUCUUGUCUUUUGCCUCCCAUGACUUCCCUUUAGAGUUCCAGCUUCUCUGUGACUUAGAUGAACCAGACUGAGAAGCAUUUUUGUUCUGACCCUUUGAAUUCACAGUGAAUGAGGCAAAUGCCUUCUCAGCUGUAUCAACACUAUGCAUUUCAAGCCUUUGCUCCCGACUCUUCAAAAUGGCAGUUACUUCCUGCAAAUCCACAGUUUCUAGUGUCUUUGUGUUUUCAAUCACAAUGCAUAUAGGGUCAUACUUCUUACUUAGACUAAUUAACACCUUCUGAACCUACCUCUCAUUUGACAGAACUUCACCAAAUGUUUUCAUUUGGUUAAUCAAUUCAGUUAGUCUAGUAAGAUAUUCAGAUAAGGUUUCACUAUCACGCAUCCUACUGUAUUCAAACUCACGUCUAAGGUUUUGAAGCUUUACCGAUCUAACAUGCUCUCCACCAUGAUAUUCUGAGUACAGCAGAUUCCAAGCCAUCUUUGCAGAGUCAGCAUUGGCAAUUCUGGGAAAAAUCUGAUCAGAAACAGCAUUUUGAAUGAUACCCAAGGCCUUCGCAUCCUUCAUGAGAAUCGCAGCUGUUUUCUCAUCAACUUCUUCUUCUGAACCAUCCUCAGAUUCCUGCUUCGUCUUUGAAUCUGGGAUUAAAAACCCCUUCUCUACCAAACCCCAUAAACCAUAUGAUCUGAAUAUGGUUACCAUCUUAAUCCUCCAAAAUUCAUAGUUCUCACCUGAGAAAAUGGGGAUUCUAGCCUCUGAACUUCCAGAUCCAGCCAUUACGAAUUUCAGAUUCGCCUGGAAACAAGAUGUUUUCAGAUUUGACCCUUGAUCGAGCUCAAUCAGCUUCGUGAGCUUAGAAUGAGCUCACCUCGAUCGAUUUUCUUCACAGAACAACGCCCAGCUUCAGAUAAUCAAACUUGGCUCUGAGGCCAUGUUAGAGUUUUAGGAUCUGAGUGUUAGAUAUUGUGAGAAGAGAGAAGAGAAUUUAGUGAAAAUUUCCAAUACUGCUCUGCUAUACGUGUAGCAGAGAGAACAUUCUCUUUUGCUAUAUAUUUUCAGUACAACAACACACACUUGGUGUGAGAAGAAAAAUGACUGUUAUGCACAGUACCAGCUGGAUGCUUUCCAUCAAAGUAAUCUCAGCCAUUCACUAUCUAACCAAUCAAGCUAUGACACCUGGACUAAGUAUAAAGAAAUACAACUAAGCAGAAAACAAGACUCUUAAUCCUGAAAUCAACUUAAGCACUUAUAAUUCAACAUUGUUACCAUAAGAGCCAGCUCCGACUUUCUUUAAUUUCAGUCCUAACGGGGUUUCAUCUUCCACUCAUCUUUGCUCUUCUCAGUGUAAGCUCUGCAAUUUGAUUAACUUUCCCAUUAUCUCUCACUGUACUCUAUAUAAAGGAAUAAGUGUCGUCCACUAAUUAAUUACACUUUGUGAGAUUUGAUUUUAAUUAGAGUUCGAAUUGAUGUUGCAGCUAGCAGCGGUGGCACUGGCAAACCAUGCUGCUCAACCAGCACCUCAACUUUACUGGAACUCCGUCCUGCCAAACACACAAAUGCCAAGAGCUAUCAGUGAACUUCUGCAUCCUGGUUUGUGUUGAAUAAAUAUAGUAUGUUACUGGAGUACGUAUGGCAACAUAUUCACAAAUGUGUCACGUAUUUUCCAAUAUGACGUUGAUAUAUAAUUGCAGACUCCACAAACGAAGAAAAGAGCACAAAUGUCAUGAAUGCUGUUGGGAAUGGAAAGCCAAUUGACCACAAGGGCAACCUGAAAAUACUGUACUACCACAGCUUGCACGACGCCCAUUUUCUUACAAGAGUGAUGAUCGUCCCACUGACAAUCAACUCCAUUAUAAAAACGUAGCUAUUUUCUUCUUGGAGAAGGACAUGCGCCCUGGCACAACAAUGAGCUUCCAAUUCCCUAGAAAUUCAAACACGGCUACUUUCCUGCCACCAGAAAGAGCUCAAUCGAUCCCCUUCUCCUCUAACAAACUACCAGAAAUUUUCAACCAUUUUUCAGUGAAGCCAACAUCUGUGGAAGCCAAAACAAUUAAGCAAACAAUCGAAGAGUGUGAGGCUCCAGGCAUUAAGGGAGAGGAAAUAUAUUGCGCCACAUCUUUAGAAUCAAUGGUUGAUUUUAGCACUUCGAAUUUUCGAACAAGAAACGUUCAAGCAAUCUCGACAGAGGUAUUGGAAAAAGGUGCCACCAUGUCCAUGCACAAGCAUACAACAAUGCCGGGACUGAAGAAGUUGGCAGGUGACAAAGUCGUUGUGUGUCAUAAGCAGAACUAUCCCUAUGCUGUGUUUUACUGCCAUGUAAUAAAACCAACAGCAGCUUAUGUUCUCUCCCUGAAAGGCGAUGAUGGGGUGAAGAUUAAAGCAGUAGCCAUCUGCCAUCUAGACACAUCAGAAUGGAACCCAAAGCAUUUGGCCUUCCAAAUCCUCAAAGUUAAGCCCGGAACAAUUCCCAUCUGCCAUUUCCUUCCCACUGAUCAUAGUGUCUGGGUUCCGAACCACAAAUCUGCAUGAUCAUCACUUAGCACUGUACGUAUAAUAAGCUUGCACCCCUGUAUAAUUAUCUCCCUACUCUACUUAUUUCUGCCUCUUCAUGUGGUGUAAGAUAUAUGAUGAGAUGAAGUUUUUGGGAUUAGUGGUCGGGUUGCCUUAAAAACACAGAUUACAGAAACUGCUUGAACUUAACCCGAUCAUGUUUUCUCUUGUACUCGUAAAGCAUGCUGUUGUGGUUCUACUUAAUUUCGUUCUCCCCAAUGUUUGAGUGUUUAAUUGUUACGUUGGAUAAUGCUUGUAGUUAGAGAAGCCUUCAUUUAUAUCAAAGUCCUCAACUUGUAAAGAUAUCAAUGGUCCUAGUGCUGCCACGUGUAAGAAGAUUGAAGAAUAAAGCUGUUGAGAUAUUGUUAGACCUGUUAUGCAGUUUAGGAAAACUGUUAGUAUUGAUAAGAGAAGGUUAGAGAUGUUAGAGAGGUUAGAAAACACGUGAACAAGGCUUUAACUCAGCUGAUAUAAAGUCUGUAGUUGUGCUCAGUUGAACUUAAUGAGAAAUACAACAAGUCUCUUCUCUAUCUCUGAAAUUCUCUCUGCUCUCUCUGCUUUACUUCUUUUGUCUCUGCUCUACAUUUUUUUUCAAUCUUCCUAUCUUAACAAAACUAUCAAGAAUUAAUGCAUCCAGAAACAUAUAUACCAAGACGCAAAACAACAUAUUUUUCAUGCUCUGUCUGUAACACCAAAGCAAACUUCCUUUAUCACAAAAGGAUCAAAUUCCAGUACUAAUCUAAUCCAUCAUGUAAAGCAUACAAUCUACAAGUGCCUCCCUUAAUUUGUCCAUUGGAUAUAUAUGUCACUUUUUGGUAAUUUGGUAUAGCAGCACCACGUAGUCUUGAAAUAGUAGUGCGGCUAUACCAAAUAUACCAUUUGCCCCUGCAUUUAACAGAAAAGUAAACAAAAUUGACGGUAGAACUAUUUGUCCUAACGAAACUGCAGUUGAAAGACCAUGAGAACGAUUUUGAAAAUUGAGGGACUCAAAUGAAAAUUGGGUCUAAGUUCAAGAACCAAUAAAACGAUUAACCCAUAGAUUUUGGAUCCAGUACCACAUCCCAAAGAGAAAACCACAAGUUUGCAAGCAAGUUUGUCCAUAAUAACACUACGUACAGUAUGGGCAGUGCGCUAGACUCAUCUCACUUUCUCAACCUAUCCUAUAGUUGUCUAAAAGAGUUUCUAAUUUAAUGUACUGAGAUUUACGAAAGAAAUAUCAGAGAAACAAUUUUCAGGCAAUAAAAAAAUGUCUUGGCAAGAAAAUGUACAAUUUGUUACAUAACUUAUUAAAUAUGAACAGUUGAAAGAAAAAAGAAUCUGGAUGAGGGAUUUGCAAAUUCCUAUGGCCCAAUUACCUUUUUUUCUUUGUUGUUUUUUUUUUUUUUUUUUUGGUUCUUUUGAUCCAGUAGCAUAUUCCAAAGAAUGAAAACCACAGGCAUGCAAUGCAAGCUCUUUUCCCACGUUUUCCUCUGUUUUUCUCCUAUCAUGGAAGUGAUUAAAACACACCUCUAAGCUUGUUUUGCGUUUGGUAGCCGAGUGUAAAAGCUCAAUGCAAGAUAGUUUGAGGUAGAAUUUUCUCCUAUUUUAUUAGGACAAUGAUAAUUAAAAAAAAGUGUGAUUCAUUGAAUAUUUGCGGGGUUUUGUUCAGACCUGACAAAGUUCUAAGUCAACACAUCAAAUUCCUUUUUCCAACAUGCAACAAUUGUAUUUGAUUCCCAAUUUUUUCUGAUAUACAUCACAUCAUGCCACUUGCAUCAAAUGAAUUUAAUUGAGUGAGGCAAUGGGAAGUAAUUAAGCUCUGUAUUCGUGGGUGGAGUGUUACUUCUGGAACCCUAAUAAUUCGUCCCUACAGGACUCUAGAACUCUCAAACUUCUUACAAGGACUACUUAACUCUAUAGCUUAAUGCAUAUAGCAUAUAUAUGCAAACACAAUUAGAAAUUCUACAACAGAAGCAAGAUCAAUCUCACUAUGCCUUCUAAACAAACAAACAAAUAAAACAAGCAUAUUAAUUGCUUUAAUCACUCUACUAACAUCAACACAGCACACUUAGUUUACUAACAGAUGAUAUAGAAAGGAAAAAAAAGGACCAAUAGGGAGAAAAUGGUGAACUAAGGAGAGACUAAUACUUCUGGUCCUUAGAAGGCAUAACAGAAAUAAUAGAGCACACUGCUUGAAUGCAAGUCAGUAUUAGGAGCAAAACAGCUGCAAUGAAAGAAAUAGUUGCCCAAGGUGUAUUGAAAUAAUGUUGCCUCAAAUUUGCCUUCCAUUUGUUCCAAGGCUUUCUGCAGUAGCUAUUAAGGCGCUCAGAAAGAAUAGCAAAGUAGAAGCUUUCACGAUACACUGCAAUUCCUUUUCCGAGGUUGUUAAUCAGAGUGCACACCUCAUUGUAGUCACCAAGCAUAUUUUUGACAAUCCCAUCCUUCAGAAGGAACUCCACAUCCUUUUCGGUGUUCACAAACUCAUCCAUGAGUGAAACAUAAUCACUUAUGUAAUUCUUACGGCAAUGGCACUAUUCAAAGGCAAUGAGGUUACGGAGUGUGAGCUCUGUGUAAUCGUGUAUUUUUAGUUUUGGAAUUUCUAGAAUCCCAUCGUUGAAUUGUGUUAACGCAGCUUUCCUUUCCUAGCCUACACGGAAGUCAACUUCACAAUCUCCUCCUAGCAAUUAGUCUUUCCUGCUGUAAAUCAGAUUUCCUACUGUAAAUCGGAUUGUAUUCAUGUCUAUAUUAUUUCCUACUUUAAGUAGAUAUCUUGUACUAGUAUAAAUAGGGACUUUGUGUAAUCUGUUAAAUACAAGGAAAUAUAUACUCUGCAUGGUAUCAGCCUAACCUAGGGUUCUCUCUCUCUCCCUUAUUCGAUCCUCUUCUCCUUUAGGUCCACCUCAUGGCUUUGUCUGAAUCCACCAUCUCCCUCCCAAGCCCCAACUCUUCUAUUUUAUCAAGCUUAUUGACUCCAACUAUCUUCUUUGGCUCCGCCAACUCAAACCCUUUUUAGUCGGCCAUGACCUCUGGAAAUUUAUCGAUGGCAUUCAUAAACAACCUUCUGCCCACACCUCCACCUCUACCACCGCAACACCCACAACCACCACCACUCUUACCCAAAUCAAUCAUGCCCAUGCUCAGUGGUACCAACAAGACCAACUCAUUGUUAGCUACAUCACCAAUACACUCUCUGAGUCCAUUCUCUUUCUCACUGUUGGUUGCACCUCUGCCCGGGAUCUCUGGGAGUGUCUCCAACGCCACUUCUCUCAAUCCAGUAUGGCCAGUGAAUCUACUCUUCGUUUUAAACUCAUGGAUUUGCAAAAAGGCUCUGAACCCACUUAUGCUUACAUUCGUCAUGCUAAGUCCUUUGCCGAUUCACUGGCUGCCAUCAAUGAACCUGUCUCCCCAAAAGAACUUGUCACUACUGUGCUUUGGGGUUUAAGACCCUAUUGCAACAUCCUCGUCACAGCAAUUCUCAAUUUCCCUCUGCUUCCUAACUUUGCUAAUCUUCGUGCUCGUUUGUUAGCAUUUGACGCACAGACUCCUUGAAUCUCUCCUGAUCAAAACACAGCGCAAAUGGCCACCCAAUCCUCUCCUCACACCACCGGUCAUACUUCCUUCCCUUCUCACCGUGGUGGUGGCUCUUCCAACAACAGGCGUGGUGGCCUCGGUGGCUGGCGCAAUAGCGGCCGGGGUGGCUGGCGCAGCUUCUCAUCUUCCUGGAGCAACCCGUGGAAUGGCUUCCAGCAGCUCCAAUGACCUAAUCAACCAUGGCCUCCUUUUGCUCCAAGUUCUGGAUCUCAAAGCAACUGGCCUUCCUUUCAGCCUCCUUGGGCCUAAUCUGCCGCUUCUAUCAAACACUUUGCCCGGCCCAACUCAGCUCCUGGUGUCUUGGGACCCGCUUGGUGCACUACCUGCAAUACCAAUCACAUACUACUACAAUAUGUCCUCAUCGCUACAAUGGCCCAGAAUCCUUUCUUUGCUAGGGCUCAAUUCAUGUAGCCACCUGACUCUACUUGGUACCCUGACACAAGUACCACUCAUCAUAUGAUUGGUAGUCCUUCUAAUCUCCAAAAUCAAUCCUUCUAAUCUCCAAAAUCAACAGCCAUAUCAGGUUCAUAAUUCUGUAUUUCUUGGUAAUGGAGAUUCUCUCCCUAUCUCUCAUACUAGCUCUCUCUUUUGUCUUCCAUCUCUUCGUACUAAUCUUCUUUUUGUUGCCCAUUUUACUUGUGAUAAUUUAGUUUUCUUUGUCUUUACUCUUGACUUUUAUCAAAUCUAUGACUUAUGUACUGGUUCGUUACUCUUUCAGGGCCCUUCUAAAGAUGGUCUUUACCCACUUUCCAUCUCCUCUCACUCAUCCAUAGUCCCCCAUGCCCUUACCACCGUGCACUCUCCUGCUUGGCAUCAUUGCCUUGGCCAUCCAUUCCAUCGUGUGCUCUCUCAUUUAGCGCCAUCUCUAGGCUUUAAAGUUUCUCAUGCUUUCUGUAAGGAUUGUGCACUUAGCAAAUCCACCAAACUGUCAUUUCUUAGUAAUAAAACCUUUGCCCCAUCUCCCUUUUAUUUAAUUCACUCUGAUGUAUGGAUGUCCUCGGUCAUUUCUGUCACUGGUUAUCGCUAUUAUGUCUUGUUUACAGAUGACUUUUCUCGUUACUCCUGGAUCUAUCAUAUGCACCGUAAAAAUGAGGUCUUUUCUCACUUUCAAACCUUUCUUGCUAUGGUUAAAAAUCAAUUUCACACCACUGUACAAAUUCUUUAAAGUGACAAUGGCACUGAAUAUGUUAAUAAUGCUUUCUCUGAUCUUUGCAGUCAACUAGGCAUCCACCAACGUUUCACAUGUCCCCACACUCCCCAACAAAAUGGCCUAGCUGAACAUAAACACAGACACAUUGCCACCAUGAUCUGUCCCCGGUCAUUUAUUCAACCAUCUUGACCUUUUGCUUGAUCAUUUUCCACAAGCAACCGUCCACGUACCCCAAUAAUUUAAAAGGGCUGAUGAUCUUUAAUUUGGUGAAAGCUUCUAUCUACCUACCGUGCUAUAUAUGAGCUAUGCAAUCGUGACCGUGUUACAUGACGUCCCAAUGUCGUAGGGAUAAAAAAAUAAUAGUCAUGGUUUUCUUAUUAAUGUCAAUACAUUCAUAGCAAAGAGCUUGUAGCUCUAGUGGUUAAGAGCAAUUACCCAUGCACUUGAGAUAUUUUGUGUUUAAAUCCCCUCUUCCCCAAUAUUUCUUGUAUAAAAAUAAAAAUAACAAUAAUAAUGACAUUAAUGUUGUAUUCUAUAAAGUGUUGGACAUGUUUUAUACCCCUUUCUUGCAAAUUACAGUUUGCCACGUGUACAAAAAUAAUAGAUAAGUGUUGGACAUCAAGAGCACUUACAUAUAGGUUUAAUAGGUAAGUUUUGAAUAUUUCUGUAUUUAGCUUUAAAUAUUGAAAAUCAACCUAUUAGCAUAUUAAAGAUUUGUCCAUAUUCGACGUACAUUCUCUUAUUUUUCUCUCAUUGAAGUAAAUACAAAACUAAGCACAUAGUGGGAAAGUGCGUCACGAUUAGGGGUGGGUUUAGUCUAGGUUGGUUCAUUUUUGGGCUCAAUUUGAACACCGAACUGUAAGCUUCGGUUUGGCUAUUUUGGAAACCGAAACCAAACCAUAAUUGAUGAAAACCGACCACUUCGAUUACCUUCUGGUCUUCCAACCAGAAGAAAACUCAAAACUUUAACCAUACCAAGUGCAACAGAAUUACACCAGGCUGGAUUCAAGUUUAUGAUGGUUAAAGAUAAAAACUUAUUUGACAUACAAUUUGAGAAUGGAAUCCUCAAAAUUCCACACCUGCGAAUACGGGGUUUAACAGAAAUUUUCUUCCGCAAUCUUAUUGCCUAUGAGCAGUGUGAGCUUCAUGAUCAUUACAUCAACGACUAUGUCUUCAUCAUGGACCGCCUGGUCGACAGUGCCAGGGAUGUGGAAUUGCUUGUGAAGAGUGGAAUUCUUGAAUCUAUGCUACCGGACAGCGAGGCAGCAGGGGAAUUUAUUAAUUCUCUUGACUUGGGGCCUAUUUUAGGCAAGCUUGAAACAAGACUAUUUCAGUUCACCAUGGGCUGGCCUGUCUAUUAUUGUAGCCGCUAUACUAGUUGUGCUCACAUUUAUUCAAACAGUGUGCUCCGUAAUGGCGCUGUAGGUUCUUCAUUUCCUCAAUUUCAUGUUUAGUGGUUGCAGAUUUGUUGCUCAUGUACGUGUUUAUCUAAAGUUAAAUAAGAGUGAUUGACUGGAUUGACUGUUAGUCUGUUAGUUUGUUUUUCUGGGGUUUUUCCCCCCUGUUCGUCAAAAAAAAAAAUAAAAGAGUGAUGGCUUGUGCCUAUGAAAAUUACUUAGGAGUAUGCUCCACAGAGCCAAAAUAAAUAAACUAGGGAAGUGGAGGUUCUUCUGUUUGUAUAUAAAUGAGCAAUUCAAACUCUCAGUGCCAAGGGAGUUACCCUUGAUACAUUUGUUAAAAAUUAUAUAUUUGGUCUUACAUCAAACAAAUAAUUUGAAGGGCUUUUUUGACAACUGCUGACAGCGUUUGGCAGAAAAGUUUAGAAGCGCUUCUACGCUUCUAGAUCAUAAAAGUGCUUUACCAAAAAGCACUUAGAUUUCUUAUGAAAAUUUCAACAUUUUUAUAAUAAAAGCGCUUGCUAGAAGCACUUAUAAGCAGAAGUGCUUCAUAGAGAAGCAGUCCCAAACGAGCUUGAUUUUCAAAUGUGCUGCUUAAGAAGAAAUUUAAUACGUUUUGAAAACAAAAAAAAAUACGAAAUUUAAUACGUUUGUUUUACAAAUUGUAUUAAUUGUUAUCAAUAAUACUUGUGCACACCCACAACAUACUUCUUUCUUUCUUUAUUUUCCUUCAGUACAGUUCUGCCUUUCUUUAAUUAUUUUUAACGAAUGCAAAGAGUUUGUCACAAAAUCAAGGAUUGAAAAAAAAAGAGAGUAAAUUAUGUGCUAGAGAAACUUUCCUGCAGAAAUUGAAGAACAACUCUAGUUUCUCUCUUUCGCCUUGUACUCCCGCACUGAGGUUAGUAUUGUUAUAAUGUGCAGAUUAUACGGUCACUCUUGUAUAAUGGCGAGAAGGCUCUAAUUAUAUUUUUGAACCUCUUUGACAGGACCCGCCCCGAAUUUCCCGAAACCCAAGACGAAUUCUGUGGAAAUUCCCUACAUCACCCCGAUGUUGGGCCCACUUCUAAAACUAUAUCAUUUUUCCUAAAAAGGAAUAAGGGCACGAGACUUUCUACCGAAAUUUCGGCAGAGUCUCUCCUGUAAAUUGAACAUUUCCCAAAAUUUCAACCUGCAUAAAACACAUUUUAUAUUACCCAACUGGCAGCAUGCACAAAAUAAUAACAUGCAAUUCACAUAAACGGCCUCUGGCCCUCCGGUAAUUCAGAGCAAUGCAAACUAGCAACUCUAAACCUAAUAAAACAACAUAAGUAACAUUUAGCCAGCGGCUGCACCCAGGCACUACCCUAGGCUACCUACGUACCCUUACUAAGGGAUCAAGCCACACGUAGUUCUUUCAUACAAAAUUUCCAAAUCCAUCAACAUGCAAUCAAUUACAGAAUCCCAAACAAAAUCUUUCUCAAACAUCAUUAGUUCCCAACUCAGUAUAAUAAUCCUUAAUUCAUCUCUGUAAUAAUCACAAUAUCUCCCCAUACGCCGGAACUACCAACACCACGUAUGGAGCCUGCCUGUACGCCAGAUAACCAACGACACGUGGGACCUCAUCAUCAUAUCACAUAAUCUCCCCAUACGCCGAAACUACCAACACCACGUAUGGGGUCUGUCAACACGCCGGAUAACCUACGACGUGUGACCUCAACAUCAAAUCACAAUAUCUCCCCAUACACCGGAACUACCUACGCCACGUAUGGGGUCUGUCCACAUGCCGGAUAACCUACGACACGUGGGACCUCAUCAUCAUAUCACAUAAUAUAUUAACGAUCAAGAAAUAUCACUACGGUCAUUUAAUCCUCCUGGGAAGGUAAAACUAUCUCAGGAGACUCACGGUCAACCAAGGGUCAAACUACCUCAUACUUGGACAAACGAGCCCACGGAGCCCACAACCUCCGUUUUACUAUCCAAGAGUUCCUAUAGGUUCUACAAGGUUUAGGAUACACGGCUUGCAAGUUUGGUCAAGAUCAGACGGUCGGAUCGCUCACGAUAGGACGGUUACUGCAAACCUAGCCCUAGGGUUGGCAUUUUCGGAGUAUCCGAAACUCCGUUUUACGAUCUGUCGAAUCAUAGACGAUCCUAAGGAUUUGCAGACUAACUAUAAUAAAUUCAAGACCAUCCAACGGUCUAAACCUAUCGAACCCGGAUAACGCGCAAUAGGCAAUAUCCAAAUUGAAAUCCGAGCACACCUACGCACUCGUGAGGACUAGGAGAUUACAUCGGGACAUAGUGCCCUUUUUCUACAGUGCCCAUGAGCCGCCGCACGCACCAGCAACGCGUGGGUGCCCAAAGCGAUUAUGCAUCGCCAAAAAAUCUCAAAACCACGGCUCAAGACUCCUACCCUAGGUAUAACACCCUAUUUGGAACCACUUUUGUUCUUGGACCUACCCCAAAAACUGAUCAGAAGUGGCCGGAAUGGCUGAAAUGUAAUUCAAAAAUCAAGCUACCAACGCUCAAAAUCGAUGCAAUCCUACCCAACCAUCAACUAGAUUAUGAAGAAUGGAUAAAUUUCCAUACCUUGAUCGCCAACAAUGGCGGCCGGAGGAGAGAGAUCUGAUCCGGCGAAGUUCGAGUGAAAACGGCCAAAAAUCAUCUUUUUCAGGCGGCUGGAGGGCGACCGAUGUCAGGGAAGGGCAGGGUCGUGACGCUAAGGCUGAGCCUGUCCUUUUGGCACCGGUCCCUUCCGCAGCCGUGUCCGGUGGCUGGAGUUUCGAAGAGAGAGAGAGAGAGAGAGAGAGAGAGAGAGAGAGAAAUCUGAUUUUUAUCAAACCUUUUUGCCAAAAUUACGGUUAUGCCACUGAGGGUAUUUUGAUAGUAUCUCUCUCGUUACAACUUCGAUUCGAGCCCACCACGUGUGUACGGACUCAUCUAACUGUGUUGUACGCAACGGUAUAGUCGAAAUUCCCAAAUUAUUUCCUUGUCAAAAAGUCAACUUUAAACAUUAUAAAAUAUUUUAGGGAAAAAAUGGUAUUUUCUCUCAAUAAAUUAGUAACUAAUUUAUUUAGGACUGGGUCAUUAUACUCUUUUUCGCUUCAAUGGAUGGGAAAAAAUUUUAUGUAAUAUCCCACAUCGACCAACGAAGAGGGGGCGAUGUGUCUUAUAUGUACAUGCCCGCCUCCAUCUAGCAUAAGGCCUUUUGGAAGCUCACUGGCUUCAGAGUCAUGGGAACUCCGAAGUUAAGCGAGUUGGGGGCUAGAGCAAUCCCAGGAUGAGUAACCCACUGGGAAGUUGCUCGUGAGCUUCGAGAAACAAAACCGUGAGGGCAGAGAGAGGGGCCCAAAGCGGACAAUAAGGCCUCGUGCUAGAUGGAGGCGGGCAUGUACAUAUAAGGCACAUCACUCUCUCUCCGUUGGUCGAUGUGGAAUGUUAGAAUGGAAUUGUUACCUUUGGUGUGGAGGUGUUCUAUCAUUUGAGCAAGAAAUUCCCACAUAUUCUUCAACUAUUUUUCAAGCAUGCAUAUUCCUCCCUAUCAAUCUUUGGUUUCUUCCUUUACUGUGCAUAGUAAGGAUCCAGUCAGGGACGGACCGUCGCUAUGACUAUCCUGGGCUAUAGCCCAGGCAAAUUAUUUUUUUUUCUAGUCUAAAAUAGCAAUCCCACCGCUUGCUGUAGUACUUGUUCAGUUCGUCACAAACAUGAGCAUAAUAGAAGUUAUCAACAUCUAUAUAGGAACCCCAAUGAAAAGGCUGUUAACUAAUAAUGAAGUUAACCCGUCAAUUUUUCCGCAUAUCAGAUAUCUCUCAGAAUAUGCGAUUCCAUAUUCAAUAAGCCACUCCACAUGCCCUGAGGUUUUCAUCAAACCACCCAUUAAGGAAACAUACUGACUCAUGUAAUUAUCAUUACUCAUCGGGUAAUGCAAUUGUUCAAAGGCAAGGACAUUUCUCAUUAUUUAUGUAGCGAACCCCAAUGGAAAUGGUGGGAUCUUCAGAACCCCAUCGGUGCUACUGAAUUGUAUGUCAAAUAUGUUUUCACCUUGUCACGCCUCAAACUUGACUCCAGCGUGCUGUAAUUCUGUCAAGCUGGGUAUGGAUGAUGGGAGUUUGAUGCAGGAGCAUAGGGGUGGAUCAAGAUAGAUAUUUACUAUUUAAUUAGUUAUUUCAUGAUAUAUUGUUAUUUUCUUAUUUAGGUAGUUUUAUGAUAUCUUUUAUUAUUUAUGUGUGAUUUUAUAAUUAAUUAGUAUACUUUUGGACCAAGUAGCCUUGGUGCUCAAGUCUUGUAAAGCCUAUAAAUAAGGCUAAUGUAAUAGUUGUAGAAUAGAUGUCGAUGAUUAAUAAAAUCGUUUAUUUGUGGCAUGGAUUUGCUACGAUAUAUGUGAGUUUGCACUAGCCCUAGAUUUCAGUGCUCGUGUAUGUGGUUGGUGACCUGUGUCCGGAUCCCGAUCCCCAUCAAUUGGUAUCAGAGCUAUGGCUCAAGAUCUGCUAUAUCGGGGAGGUUUUUGGAUGGAGGGUCGUUUUAACAACUACAACGACAUGGAGGAAAUUAGGAGGAUGCUACGGCAACUUAUGGAACACAUUGCUCGCAUUGAAGCUCGAACCCAGAUAGGUAAGAGUUCUGACGGGGAGGGAUGUGUGAACCCUUAUCUGAACCGAGUAGCUCGCAUCGACACUCUAAGCCGUGAGAGUCUCGACGGGGAGUACGAGGGAGAUAGCCCUUUUCAUUAUUGUGCUCCGCUGUGUGAGUCAAGUGAAGAGGGGCACGGUUAUUCUCAUUGUGUCUUUGAAGGUAUAAAUGAAUUUAGUAAUUUUGGUGCAUCUUGUUAUUCAUCAAAGUUAUUAAAUUUGGAUUUACCUCCAUUAUUUGAUCCUUGCAAUUGUGAAAAUUGCAAUAAAAAUUGUUUGGGUGUUCAAAGCAAUUUUGAUAAGCAAUUUAUUGACCAGAACAGUGAAGAGAUGAGAAUUGAGAAAACUUUCGAAGAUAUUAUUGAUUUUAUGGGCAUUAAUAUUUUCACUUGGAAGGUUGCCAAAAAUCUGGUUGAUUUUGUCAAUCGGUUGAAGAUUCUAGAGAGAAACAUUUGCAUUGCUAGAGGGAGUAAGAAGUCAAGAAUAACGAAAUAUUCCAAAUAUCUUUUUAUUUGGAAAGGAAGGUUUCAAUUGGAUGCUAAAAGAUCCAAAAUUAAUAUGCAGCAAUUGAAGAUUCUACUCGGAUUUUCCUUAAUCAAAGGCUUGAAUUCGAGGACGAAUUCUUUCCAACUAUGGGAGUCUGAUGCAGGAGCAUAGGGGUGGAUCAAGAUAGAUAUUUACUAUUUAAUUUGUUAUUUCAUGAUAUAUUGUUAUUUUCUUAUUUAGGUAGUUUUAUGAUAUCUUUUAUUAUUUAUGUGUGAUUUUAUAAUUAAUUAGUUUACUUUUGGACCAAGUAGCCUUGGUGCUCAAGUCUUGUAAAGCCUAUAAAUAAGGCUAAUGUAAUAGUUGUAGAAUAGAUGUCGAUGAUUAAUAAAAUCGUUUAUUUGUGGCAUGGAUUUGCUACAAUAUAUGUGAGUUUGCACUAACCCUUGAUUUCGGUGCUCGUGUAUGUGGUUGGUGACCUGUGUCCGGAUCCCGAUCCCCAUCAGAGUUCCCCUCCAGCUUUUGAUUCCAACGGUUGAUAGAGUUUAAAUAUUUUCCUGAAAAGAUCAAUAAUAUGUGCCACUGAUCUAAAAGUCUCCAAAUUGUCUUCCAAUUUGUCAACAGGCAAUAGAUGUUCGAAGAAACUGAAAGAAAUACAAAUUAUUGAAAGCCCCUCAGUAAUGCUGUUAUUGUCAGCAUUAGCAGGGAGUGUAAUUUUCUGUGGGUCGAAAAGAUCCUCGAGAAUGAAGAAUGGCAACUGAUUUUCAAGCAACCACGUAUCUGUCCAUGCAUCUUGCAACAUACCUGGUUUGUCAAAUAUGCGGUCAUUUUCGUCCCAAAAUUUGAAGUAGUCCUUCAAUAAGGGCUCAAUAACGAAGGCGGCGCCCACUAGAAUGAUUGUUACAAAUUCAUCACUGCUAAACUUGAUGGGUUCUCCAUAACAACGUCUCAAUCUUGCUUCGUGGUCCUUUAUUUUCUUAAUAUAAUCCUCCAAACUCACAUUGGUCCGACCUAUAAAAUCUUGCAGGUAUCUCUGUUUGUUCUCUUCCAAUACGACAUUCAAGCCUUCCUUUCCAUGGUGAAGUGGACCUAUAGAGACCGACUGCCUGAGGUGUGCAGAGCUUUUCAUUCACACAUACGUAGAUAAAAUGUCUGGGGGCUCAGAGAGUGAUGAAUGUGCAACAGCUAAUGGGAGGGUUUAUAUUCCUGAAGUAAGAAAUGAGGAAACACCAGCAGUUGGGAUGAAGUUUGACUCGCUUGACCUCGUUUACAAUUUCUAUAAUAGAUAUGCAUUCUUGGCUGGCUUUGGUAUUCGACUUCAUUCUAGCUUUUGGGGGAAAAAUAAGAAAGAGAUUUUGAGGAAAGAAUUUGUAUGUUGCAAACAAGGUGCAUACAAGAAGGAUGAAACUCGGGAGAGAAAAAGACAACGGGGAAUAAGUAGAUGCAAUUGCAAAGCAAAGAUUGUGGUUGUGAAGACAAAUGGGAGCAAGAAGUAUACCAUUUCUCUUUUUGCAGAGGGACACAAUCAUAAGAUGACACCCUCAGAAAGAAUGCAUUUAUUGAGAUCACACCGUCAUAUUUCAGAUUCUACAAAAGUACUCACAAAACAGUUGGGUUCAGUUAAUAUUCCCAUUCAUCAGAAGGUAAGUAUAUUCGAGGUGCAAUCCGGAGGAAUGGAUAAAAUCGGUUUUAUCAAAAAAGAUAUCUACAAUCUUGAAUGUAGUGUGAAUGGGAAGCUGAGGAACCACGAUGUUGAACUAGUGACCGAGUAUUUUAUGGCUGAACAGAAAAAAAAUGAGGCUUUUUAUUUCAAGAUUGAGGGAGAUGGGCAUGACAGGUUUAGUCGAUGUUUUUGGGCAGAUGCAACUUCUAGACGGGCGUAUGGGUUUUAUGGAGAUGUUGUUGUAUUCGAUACCACAUUCAACACGAAUCGAUACGACUUGACAUUUGCACCAAUGUUGGGAGUUAAUAACCAUGGUCAGACAAUUGUCUUAGCAUGCGCAUUUUUGAGCAAGGAAACGACUGAGUCGUUUGUUUGGAUGUUUGAGGAGUUUAAGAAAGCCAUGCCAGGUGGGGAACCUAAAACGAUCAUUACAGAUCAAGAUGCGGCAAUGGCCAUAGCGAUUUCAAUAGCCUUCCCGAGUACAUUUCAUCGACUUUGCAUAUGGCACAUCACAUCAAAGUUCUCUGUUAAGUUACCACGUGACGCUUAUAAGGAGUAUUGGCCUGAAUUUCAGAAAGCCAUAUGGGAUACUGACAAUAAGGAUGAGUUUGAUGCAAAAUGGAAUAUUGUGGUUAUAAAGGCUGGUUUGACUGACCAUCCAUGGCUAAGUUCAAUGUUUGAUUUAAGGGAAUCUUGGGUUCCAGCCUACGCACGACAAUUUUUUGCCGCUGGAAUGUCAAGCAGCCAAAGAGCGGAAGGUUCUCAUGGUUUUUUCAAGCAAUACAUAUCAAGGAGAAAUUCGUUGAUGGAUUUCAUAAUACGAUUUGAGAGGGCAUUUUCUCAUCAACGUGAAAAAGAGUUAGUUGCUGAUCACGUAGAUGCAUUUGAAGUGGCUCAAUGUCUUCUACCGAUGCCAAUGAACAAACAAAUGGCUACCUUGUACACAAGGACAAUGUUUCAAAAGUUUGAGCAAGAACUAAUACAAAGUACAGCAUGUUUCCUAGAGCUCAAAACAGAGGAUGCAUGUAAAGUUGUGUUCAACGUGAGCGAAAGGAAAAAUUGGGAAACAAGAGUGGCAGAAGUCGUAUAUGUCAAAGAUUCUGACCACGCAUCGUGUAGCUGCAAAAGAUUUGAAUUUGUUGGAAUUAUUUGCAAGCACAUCCUAGCAUUGUUCAGAAGGGACCAGAUUGAAUAUAUGCCCGAUAAAUAUAUUUUGAAGAGGUGGAAGAAAACUGCGAAAUGUGGAUUGGUGUCAGAUGCAAAUGGCAACGAAAUUAAAGACUGUGCAGAUCCUGGCCUUCUAAUAAAGCGGAGUACAAUGUCUCGACUUGCUUCAAAUGUGGUUGAGGAUGCAUUAAUGAGUGAAGAAGGAUGUGAGCUACUGUCAGAGACUCUAAAAAGUUUGCAGGUGAAGUUGAAGUUGCUGAAGGAUGGACCAAGUAAUAACGAAGUUGGAGGGUCCAGCUCUCAAACACAAUAUAUGAAAGACCCUAAGAGAGUGAGGUGCAAAGGAAGGUCGAAAGGAAUAACGGGAGCAAAGGAAAAGGCAAUGAAGCGAGGGAUUAGACACUGUCGGGAGUGUGGACACAUUGGUCAUGAUAGAAGACAAUGCCCAGCCUUGAACACACCGUAAGAUGCUACCACUAUUUGUAAUAAUAUCUAAAAUAUGAAAAGGUAAAAUUUUUAUGUGCUUGUGUUUGAUGUUUAUGCAGGACAUCACCGUCGAACAAUGACAAAUCAACUCCAAUACAUCGUAGUGACCCAUUAUUCGACGAUUUUGACAAGAUGCACAGACCAACUGAAUGAUUGAUAUUUGUAUUAGACGAAAUGUGGUUGUUAUGAAGAUUAAUGAUCAAGUGAAGUUUUAUAGAUUCAGUUUUUGAAUGUUAUUGUGUUUUUGUUCAUGUCCACCGAUGAGCUCUUACUAUGUCCACUGGUAAUUGAAAUGAAAAUUUUCUUGGUUUCAUUCUUCCAAGACAUUUGGAGACAUGUUAAUUUUACGUCUUCUCCCUAUUUAUAAAUUUUCAUAGACAUUUGAUCAAGUUUGAAAUUUGUAGUUAUGUGAAGAAGCAAUGACUCUUACCAUGUAAAAUGGGCAGUUUAGGGUGAAAUUUGUUUUAACAGAGAUUCAUUUUUCAAUUCCUCAGGGUAAUGCAGCAAUUACAGCAGCCAGCUGUUGUUUCCAUUACCAGUAAUCAUUUCCAGCAGCAGCCACUUUUUCCGACUGGUUAUUAGGGGCACGAUUUUGUACACUUUUGUAAGUGAAGGAUACUCGAAGCACUUUGUUGGAACAGAGCAAAUAGAAACCAGCGGGUAAAAAAAAAACAUAACAUUGCAGCUAAUUACAUUUCGAUACAUAGGUGAAAAAUAUUAAAGGGUACACUAACUUACAUAAAUACUCAUAAUUCCACACACAAAAGAACAUUUGAUUGCAAAACAUAUUAUGUGCUUCCUCAUAGCAAUACCACGAUCUCCCCAACCAACUGAACAACGGUAGCCACAAUCACUGGGUCGUACUCGUCAGCUUCUUCUUAGCAGGUCUCACAUGCUUAUGGCCACUCAUAUCCCUAGUGAUAUACACGAAAUAAAUCUUCAGCAAUAUUUGGAAUUUUAUUAUAUAUAAAUAAACCAUAAACCAUUCAGUAAACAAUGUAUAGCACAUGUUAUGUAACUUAUGACUCACGUGUCAGUUUUUUUUUUAACACAUUAGUACUCCAGCUCUUUAAUGUAAAUGGACAUGAUAAGGAGCAUUUACUGAUUCCCGGCUUUCUAUGAUAUUGACUGCUUCUUGAAUAAUAUUUCCAUAUUUGCAAAAUAUAAUGUUAGACAUUAUAACACAUGAUGACUUGCAAUACAUAGUCCCAAUAAUUAUAUAUCAAGCAAAUGAAACUGAUAUUUGUGUUAUUUUAAGUUAGAUAAUGACAUUAAGGGAGUAUAUGUGCAAUACCACGGUCACCCUCAACCAACUGAACAGCGGUAGCCGCAAUCACUUAGUCGUAUCGGUCGGCUUCUUCCGAGCAGCUUUGACGUGCUUAUGCUCAUUCAUGUCACCCCCAUCGUCUAGUAUCUCUCUCACAGCAUCAGGGGACACAUAGUUCCAAUCAUAACUUGUAUGAGUAGUUGCCGCAAAUGCUCGGAAUUUGUCGAAUCCUUCGUUGAAUGCCAACUCCAGUUCAGUAUGGUGCUCUUCGCAUCGCAUAUGGUUCAUCAAACAACCUUUGAUUUCAUCAUUCAUUACUGUAUCCAACUCCUCAGCUUUCAGCUUCCUGCUAUGACUCAGCUUCAAGUACUUGUUCUUUUGGGAUAACGCUUUGUUCACCCUAAUGUUAAGAUCAGCCAAAAUUGCCUCGUCUUCAACACAUUUCUCGUGCCAUGAAUUGAUCAGUCUGGAAUUAUAAUCCAGCUUGCCACUGACUGCAUGUAUUGCCUGUAAUGGAUCAUCGGAGUCCCCCUCACUCCCAAAUGAUGUUGAAAAAGGAAGGGGUCGGCGAGUACAAUGUGGAAAUAGAACCUGCCACUCCAAUUUGUCAUCUUCGAUUGUGUUGUUGGCGCCUGAAGAGGUUGACAUGCUUGAAUAAUCCUCUUUGUUUUGGGAGGAUGAGGAUUGCAUAUGCAAUUUCGUUUGAGAAAGGGAACAUAGGUUUAUAGACCAACAUACCAAAGCUUGUGUGUAGUCAACAUAUGUACUUUUUGGCGGGAAUUUUUUAAAAAUAGGUGUUAGGUUUUGCUUUUCAAGCAUGUCAACCUCACACUCUCCUGACACCACUGCUAGUGGUUGAAACAAAGUCAAUGGAAGUGACAUCUACUUAGUUAACUCAACCAAACUAGUUAGGAUUAAACUUAGAUUGUAUCAGACCAAAAAAUAAUUUCUACUUUGUCAACCAAAUAUUUUUUGGCGGGAACCCUUUUCUUGGUAUUACUAUCACCCCUUUCAUAUAAAAUCUCCUUCCACACAAAACUCACUCCUCCACCGAAUCUGUCUCCAUCUACCGAUACUCUCUCAAGCAAACAAACUCAUUCCCCCCAAAGAAUGAGCAUAAGCACAACCAAGUUUGAUGUGAGCAUAAUAAACACCCCUCCAAACAAAGACCGGCUUCGACACGCAAGUGAGUCACCGGACAAGCAAUGUCACAUUGCUAGACAGAAUGACCAUUUUGUUGGAAGUUUUGAGUCUGAAAGAGUUGUUGCUUUUUGGAAGGAGAGGCAUCUUCAACUUGGUGAUGAAAUCCAAAGGGCAAGGGCACGUUUGGAAUUUGUGGAAGGCCAAAUUGAAGAUGACAAAAGGCAGGCCAAUCUGGAUAGGGCGAAGUUGUAGCGCAUGAAGCGUAGACACAAACGACUUCGGAGUGUAGCUGUUCAAAAAUACAAGAACUCAUCUAAUGUAGUGGAGUCAAAGAAGCGUGUGAUGCAAGCUGGAUUCGACUACUUCCGAUCCUAUGCAAAACUCGUCGUACCCGGGUUUGAUUGGUCAUCUAUUACCGUUUCCGACGUCACCAAAUAUACUCAGCAAGGGAAGUAACCAUUUUGGUUCUCGUGUUUUAGCAGAGGCAAAUAAGUGGAAUUGGAAUUUUGGUUACACUCUGCUUCAAAGCUAUUUUGAUGCUAACUACUAUGGAAGAUUUAAACCUUAAUAUUUUGAUGUCUUUAAUUACGAAAACAGAAGAUGCAAAGAGCUCAUCUACUUCAGCCAUAUGUUGCUGCCAUGUCCAUUUGUUUUUGAUCACUUAUCAGAUUUGGACAUGGUUGCAUCAUAUGCAAUGUUGCCUUUAUUUAUUAUAUGUUAGGACAAGGUUUAUGGAAAAGCUUUUGUGAGUGCGUUUGUGACAAGGUUAUGGAAUUAUUAUGUACACUUUAUAUAUUGUUUUUUGUACUGGUUCAUUUCCUACUAUUUCUUGCUUUCUUUAUAUUUUAUGUUUGUGGAAUCCCUCUCAAAGUUAACAUAUACUGUGAAAAAAAUAUUAUGCAACUGAUUAUAUAAUCACUCAUAUAGACUAGGACAAAUAUUCACUAAGGGUUUUAAACUUGCUUCACUUGUGUGAUGUUAUUGACAAAAAGUAUGGCAUUAUUUAUGUGAUUUGACAUGAUUGAAAAUAUAUUACUGAUUCCCAAUGCGGCGUCAUAUGGACAACGUAUUGAAUACCUGUGACGUGUUAAUAACUCAAGGUGCAGUUGCAUGUGGACAACUUCUUGAAUACCUCUGACGUGUUGAAAACUCUAGGUGCAGUUGCAUGUGGACAACUUAUUGAAUACGAACUGACGUCUUCAAAGCUCUAGGCGUAGUUGCAAUGAUGGCUUCAAAGCAUGUGCAAUUAUUUUUUAUGUACAUUAUUAUAACAAAACAUAUUAUUGUAUAUAGUGAAACUAAAUAUUGUAUUAUUAGAAAUUAUAUUUCGAAUAUUAUCCGAAAUAUACGUGUUAACGUGAAUUUGGGUUAAGAGGAAAGUGAGUUAUGUACAAAUAAUUUUCAUUUUCUCAUUUUCCGGGCAUUUUUUGGAUUUUCGUAGAAUUUAUUACCUAUGUCCACAGAUUGUUGCACUAAAAAAGCCAAAAUAAUAGCAAGAGGACACCUGGAGCGAUCUCAGCCCGUCACUGAUGACUACUUGCACAAGUGUACGUCAGUCAACAUGGCCACACCCUCCCAUUUUACCCUAAAUUAUUAUUUUAUUACUUUUCCUUACAAAAAUCAGAACUAAUUACACACAAAAUAAAAAAAUUAUCCGAAAAUUGCUACGAACUCAUUGACACUCCAUCUCCGUUGCUGAAUUCUCCGAUUCAUUGUUACGUAUUUGUAAAAUUAAUUCCCAACAUUAACGGGAGAUGCUUGUUGAAGUAGGUUAUUCAAGUUGAAGUUAACAAACAUCAAUACUUAGGGUUAAGAGGAAAGUGAGUUAUGUAACACAAUUUGGAUUAUUUCAUUGCGAGACGAAUGAUUUAUAGGUUCUCCUAGUUUUAUGACGUCACAAGUAGGCCGGAGUAAUUUUUGGGGCAUUUUUACGAUUUUCCUACUAUUUUUUACCUAGUUUCAAAGAUUUUUGAACAAAAGAAUCCAAAAUGUAAAAGAAGAUGACACCUGGCGCGAUCUCAGCCCGUCACUUUUCACUACUUGCACAAGUGUACGUCAGUCAACAUGGCCACAUCCUCUCAUUUUACCCUAAAUUAUUAUUUUAUUACGUUUUGUCUUGGAAAAUUCAUAACUAAAUACACAAAAAUUCAAAAUUAUUUCUGAAAAUUGCUACGAACUCAUUGACACUCCAUCUCCGUUGCUGAAUUCUCCGAUUCAUUGUUACGCAUUUUUAAAAUUAAUUCCCAACAUUAACGGGAGAUGCUUGUUGAAGUAGGUUAUUCAAGUUGAAGUUAACAAACAUCAAUACUUAGGGUUAAGAGGAAAGUGAGUUAUGUAACACAAUUUGGAUUAUUUCAUUGUGAGACGAAUGAUUUAUAGGUUCUCCUAGUUUUAUGACGUCACAAGUAGGCCGGAGUAAUUUUUGGGCCAUUUUUACGAUUUUCCUACUAUUUAUUACCUAGUUUCAAAGAUUUUUGAACAAAAGAAUCCAAAAUUAACAAGAAUAUGACACCUGGCGCGAUCUCAGCCAGUCACUUUUGACUACUUGCACAAGUGUACGUUACCGAACAUGGCCACAUCCUCCCAUUUUACCCUAAAUUAUUAUUUUAUUACCUUUUUUCUUGGAAAAUUCAUAACUAAAUACACAAAAAUUAGAAAAACGAUCCGAAAAUUUCUACGAACUUAUUGCGAUUUCAUCUUCCUACUGCAUUCCCUGUUUAAUGGUUAUGCUACAUUAGUAUUUUAUUAUUAUUUAUCCACAAUUAUUAUAAUUAUUAUGAUAUUACUUUUUAGGCUGUCCAUUUGUUAAUUAUACCACAUCCAACUUGUUGAAAACAAUUUUAUUUUCCGUGCGAAUAGGCCAUUUGUAGUGCUUAUCGGUUUCUCUGUUCUUCAAUUUGUUAAUUUUUUUAUUUUUUAGGUUGAAGGGAUGUUUUGAAACAUAAUAUGGAAAUAUACAAGUCAUCCAUUGUACUCCUUCCACACAAAAAAAUAGUCUACGUCAUUCACUGUUCAACACCCUAGGUUAAGACACGUGUAACCAAAUCCGUUCGGAUAUGCUAAGUGGGAAAAUGUCAUUCCCAAGCACUGGUGAAAAGACACUUAUUUACUCCAUGCAUGACUUUUGGUUUACCAAAUAUGAAGAUUGGGGUCGGUGAGCAAAAUAUCUGUGUCAGUAAAAUGUCAUUCCUAGCCAUCUAUGAUGUAAGUAAUAAUUCCGCUAUAUAAUAAAUAUUAUACAUUUAUAUAUAAAACGGUUUAUGACAAAAUACCAACAUUUGAACAACAUUUAAACUGAGAUAGGUAUAACGUAGCCAGCCAACCUAGAAGUGAAGAGAAGCAAGUCCACAAUGCAUCAAAACUGUAAAUUCGUACUAAAACUAAUGCAAAAAUACGUGAUUCCCUCGCACAACUUACUCACGCAGGAUUUUGCACCAAAAAAUACUCUCACGGUGCCAUUUGCAUCGGUUGCAGCAAGUCCAAAACGCAGGAUUUAUCUUGUCUUCACUAGGCCACCCUGGAAUAACAAAAUACCAUUCAUUGUUGUUACAAGCGCUGCACCGAUUGAACUUAAUCUUCCCAUAGUCAAACAUAUCUACGAUAUGUCUUGCAACAAAUGCUCCGCGACAUCUUCCUGUUAAAGCAUCCCUGGUUCCUUUCAUAUCAAUGUUGUUACGUUGAUUCAAAGAACACAAGAAUUGUAAUGCAUCCUCUUUUGACUGACCAAUUCCGGACAUACCAAGUAGUCCAACUACAUAUGCCGCUUCCAUAUGGCCUGCCGUGGCUGCAAUGCGCAUCCCAUACAACGCUUCCACCUUACCGUCUGUGAAAAAACCUUCGAAUGCUUCUCUAAAUAUGGACUCAGGGUUAUCGCAAGCCCUGCAUUGUUGCAAGAAAUGCUGGACUGCAGGUUUGGCACGGUAGCAGAUAGGAUGGUGUGGGUACUUUGCCAUUGAAAUGGUGUUCCACACUUGUGGACUGUUUGCCAAAAUGUUGAACAAUCGGCACACACAUGCCAUACGGAAGAGAUCUUCCGAUGAUUCGGUUGCCACGUAUAACAUCACUUGAAACCAAGCGGACUCCGGGAUAAAGGCUUCGGGCAUAUCGAAAUGGAGAUGCUUCCUUCUCUUUCCUCCGACUGUAGUGAAGUGUUUCGAAUUCAUUGAAAAGUUUUUGGAAUGGAACGAUUUGAGGAGUGGCAGAGGGGAUAAAUGAUAAUAUUUGGGGUACACGUUCUACUUCCGAGCCUCUGUUUAUAGUGUUUUGAAAAGGUGUUUCCAGUUGGGGUUUUUCCAAGUUGACCCUUUUGAAAGAAACUGAAUCCAAGUGAAUUAAAACUUAAGACAAAAGAAGGGAAAACGUCAUAACGGUGCAUACAGAGUCAGACAGUUAAAAAGUUAAUUAAAUGGCUAUUUGCAUAGCCAUUUUUGGGUUUAUCCCACUAUCAAAUUCAUUGAUACAAAUGUGAUGGAUUACUGACUAGUGACAGAAGGUCCCAUCAUAUACUUUUUCAUUUUCGCACACCCAACUAUCCCUAGUAAUGUUAUUAAAAUGGAACCAAUAAUGACGGAUUCUUAUCCAACUAGUUGCCUUAAUGAAAUAUAAAUAAAUUAAUAAAAUUGAAGCAGUGUCCCGUCAUUAGUCAGAAAAUAUAUUUGGUAGUGAAGUAGUUUCUAUUGCUUUUCGGGCUAAAAGAUGUCACAAUGCUGACGGUACAGGUGUCGACAUCGUGACCAACCCACCAAAUGAUCCCAAAAAAAAGUAAUAUAACUCGAUUUGGGCAGAGAUGAGAGAGAGCUGAGUGACAAGUUUAGGGUUAUGAGUGAAGGGGUAUGAAUGACAACUAUGAGUGAGAAGGUAUGAGUCCGAAGAGGUUUCAGUGAGAAGAUUUGAGUGAGAAGAGGUACAACUGAGAAGAUUCAACAUGUCUUCGUCUUCAUCUCCUGCUCAAACAAAGAGGUGUCAGUAUUGUGGAGCUACAAUGGUGCUUCGGGUUUCAAAAUCUGAAAAAAAAUCGAGGGAAGCCAUUCUGGAAGUGUCUAACCUCCUAUGUAAGUUUUAAUUUAAAGAAUAUGUAUGUGGGUGAAAAAAAACCUAUGUCUAACUCUGACAGAAUUAUAUUCCAUAUAUGAUGCCUGCAAUUAGGGAGCCACCAGUUGCAAUGGAUUCGAAUGGGUUGAUGUAACCUCCGCUGAAGCAGAACAUCAAGAUGACACGUAUGAUGUUAGAGUGCUGAACAUGCUGAAGUCCAUUAAGGACUUGGUAUUAGUUUUAUUAGUUGUAUUAAUUGUCAUUUUAUUUGUUCUUUUAAUGAUCAUUUAACUGCACGGUUUAAAAGAUUGUGAAAGUUCUCUCGCACAAGACAUAUUGCACGCACCACCAAUGAGACCCUAAACCCAUUUUGUAAUAUUUGGUAACUGCAUGUAUUUCGCAUGUUAUUGAAUGUUUAUUGAAGGUUUAUUGAUAGUUUGCUGCAUGUAUAUGGAAUAUCAUUGCCCCAAAAUUGGAUGUUUAUUGGGGCCACAAGUAUCACUCAAGUAAGAAUGAAGGGGAGAAACGGACCUUAUUCUUUCUUAUAGUAGGAAGAACAACUGUUAAGUUUAAUAUCCUAUUCAAUACGACUUCCCUAUGGUUGGUGUACUUGGGGACUGAAGUAUAUUGCAUCAUUAUUGUGGGCAAGGGCAUGUCUAUUGUGUGUGUUAAGGGAGUAUUGUGUGGGCAAGGGCAUGUCUACUGUGUGUAUAUUGCAUGUCUACUGUGUGUAUAUUGCAUAUCUAUUCUCUGUAUAUGGCAGGCCAAGUUUGUGUAUAUUGUUUGUCUGUUGUGUGUGUAUUGCUUGUCGGUGCGUUUGUGAAUUGUGGUUCAUUUUGUGUAUAUUGUCUUUGUUUCUACUUUUAUGCUACUGAGCUGCGGAAAACCUCGCAUGUUUAGACACCUAUUAUGAUGCAACACAUUGCGAUUAAUGGUGGCUUGCAUCAACAAUGACAUAUCACUUUGCAAUGAUGUAAUACACUUAAAAAGCCGUCUUCAAAUCCCAAUUCACAUAUGCAGUCUUAAAAUUCUAAUUCAAUGCAGUUUGGUUAACAAACAUGUAAAUGUCAUGAAGGAGUUAGCGGUAGAAUUCGAUAAGGACCCGUACGUCUCUAUUGUGUAUUUACAUUAGUUUGAGAAUGGACAUUCCCAAAACCUUCUCAUGUACCAUUUGUCAUCUUCAACCAAUAUCAUGGGAAGUAAGCAUCUCCCCUUGUUAUCUCCGCAGCCAAUUUCAACCGAAAAAAAGGCAUGUUGUGCGAGGUGCAAGUAGCUAACGGAAGCUUAGCGCUGAAAAGCUCAAUGUACUUUAACACAAACAUGCCACAAUCGCCUCUGAAGCAAAACAAGAACUCGAUCAAUUCAACUAAUGACAUUCUAAUGUAAUUGACAAUUGAAAGUAAUAAAAUUAAAUUGCAAGUUGUGCUUACUCAUUAGACUGUUGUGGAACAUCCACACGCUCUAUUGGCCACGGACACCACCAAUCUCGGCUGCAAUUGUUUGCAUAAACACCUUCUUCAUAAAAGUCGAUGGUGUUGAGAAGAUUUGGAAGCGUAAUUGAUAGCGGGCCGAGUUCUUCCUUUACGAUGUCAUCUGGAAUUAGUGAAACCUUUGAAUCGUACACUUUGAUUCACACAAUACCAGAUCAAACANNNNNNNNNNNNNNNNNNNNNNNNNNNNNNNNNNNNNNNNNNNNNNNNNNNNNNNNNNNNNNNNNNNNNNNNNNNNNNNNNNNNNNNNNNNNNNNNNNNNNNNNNNNNNNNNNNNNNNNNNNNNNNNNNNNNNNNNNNNNNNNNNNNNNNNNNNNNNNNNNNNNNNNNNNNNNNNNNNNNNNNNNNNNNNNNNNNNNNNNNNNNNNNNNNNNNNNNNNNNNNNNNNNNNNNNNNNNNNNNNNNNNNNNNNNNNNNNNNNNNNNNNNNNNNNNNNNNNNNNNNNNNNNNNNNNNNNNNNNNNNNNNNNNNNNNNNNNNNNNNNNNNNNNNNNNNNNNNNNNNNNNNNNNNNNNNNNNNNNNNNNNNNNNNNNNNNNNNNNNNNNNNNNNNNNNNNNNNNNNNNNNNNNNNNNNNNNNNNNNNNNNNNNNNNNNNNNNNNNNNNNNNNNNNNNNNNNNNNNNNNNNNNNNNNNNNNNNNNNNNNNNNNNNNNNNNNNNNNNNNNNNNNNNNNNNNNNNNNNNNNNNNNNNNNNNNNNNNNNNNNNNNNNNNNNNNNNNNNNNNNNNNNNNNNNNNNNNNNNNNNNNNNNNNNNNNNNNNNNNNNNNNNNNNNNNNNNNNNNNNNNNNNNNNNNNNNNNNNNNNNNNNNNNNNNNNNNNNNNNNNNNNNNNNNNNNNNNNNNNNNNNNNNNNNNNNNNNNNNNNNNNNNNNNNNNNNNNNNNNNNNNNNNNNNNNNNNNNNNNNNNNNNNNNNNNNNNNNNNNNNNNNNNNNNNNNNNNNNNNNNNNNNNNNNNNNNNNNNNNNNNNNNNNNNNNNNNNNNNNNNNNNNNNNNNNNNNNNNNNNNNNNNNNNNNNNNNNNNNNNNNNNNNNNNNNNNNNNNNNNNNNNNNNNNNNNNNNNNNNNNNNNNNNNNNNNNNNNNNNNNNNNNNNNNNNNNNNNNNNNNNNNNNNNNNNNNNNNNNNNNNNNNNNNNNNNNNNNNNNNNNNNNNNNNNNNNNNNNNNNNNNNNNNNNNNNNNNNNNNNNNNNNNNNNNNNNNNNNNNNNNNNNNNNNNNNNNNNNNNNNNNNNNNNNNNNNNNNNNNNNNNNNNNNNNNNNNNNNNNNNNNNNNNNNNNNNNNNNNNNNNNNNNNNNNNNNNNNNNNNNNNNNNNNNNNNNNNNNNNNNNNNNNNNNNNNNNNNNNNNNNNNNNNNNNNNNNNNUUUUCCUCUCCCUCAUCUCUAUUAUUUGGCCCUUCACCCCCUUCAAUCCCUUCAUCUUCUUUUUCCUCUCCCUCAUUUCUGUUACUUGGCCCUUCAUCCCAUUGAAUGUCAUCCAUUUCCCCAUAUCCCUUAAAUAGAUGUGAGACGACACAACGAUUCGUCCUCUGUUUCAGUAAAGCUAGGUCCCUCCUUACUUCCUGCUCAAACUGAGGACCUAAACAUUGGUCCAAUAGUUUUUCCAUCCGUAUGACCUUUAAGUGAAGGACGUCUUUUUCCCGCUUUUCUUGAAACAACUCGGACCUCAACAAGCUUACCACCUUGUUCAACUCAUCAAGAUCACCACAUGAAGAAGGAAUUGACUCUGCCGAGACAACAGCAGGGCGAUCCUGUGGCCAACUCCAAUAUGGCUGUCUCAUUUCCUCUUCACUUAGACAUAGCGCCCGCAACUGAACUGACUGUUUCAGAAUACAGACAAGAGUCAUAUUAAAUCAUUCUACUUCAUAAUUUCAUUCAAUCUUAUCAAUAGUUCUAAGGGCUGCAAACCAAACCUCUUUGCUCUGGAAAAAAUAAUUGUUCAACUUUCUCAUCUCUGGAACAGACGUAGUAGUUCUCCAUCGCAAAAUACGCGGGACAGCGGUCGGAUCAACAACCUUGCAGUAAUUCAGGUCCGCCAUUCUAGGAAUUAAUUCAUAUACCCAAAUCUACACAAUUCACAGGACAAAAGUCAUUAUUUAUGUUUUAAAGAAAAACAAAACAUAACUGACAUGAACAUUAUUACCAUGUACCUGGAAAGCAUACGUGAAACCUUUAAAACUCCAGCCACUCCUUUGCGCUUCACUAUGCUUAUCCUUCUUGCCCUUCUCAUUUCUCCGGCUUGUUCCCGUUACCUUACUUUUCCCCUUCCCUCUUCCCUCUUCAUUUUCCAAGCUUUUCACAUACUUUGUUGGUGCAGAAAAUAGACUGUCUUGGGUUUUGUCAAAGGACACCGAACCCCACGGAUACCUGUUGAACGCAUCCAAGUCCUCUACAAGGGUCAGGUAAUUUAGAUUGAUGUUCAAAUGUUUGUCCCUUCCCAAAACCACUAACUCAGCAAAGUAAACAAGAGGUAGCUUGAAGAUGUCAUCUUCCUCUGUGCACCUCACAAAUGCUUCUUCUAAAGCAUUGCAUGUAAUUCCUUCGUCUAUAAAAUAUCUUUUCUGAAGUCUGAUUUCAUUACUCUCUCCACUGGAAACUUCAGGCACUUCCCCAAAACGAAGCCCUGUGAUCAAACAGAAAUCCUGACGAGUGAACUGAGCAACGUCACACCCUAAUAAGAAACUCAGUCCAUCCAAGUCUUUCACACCCUGCCCCGCUACUCUACGCAACACAACCCCAUGCACAAUCUGUCCGCUAAACUGAAUCUUAUCUAUAUUCAGAAGAUGGCCAAAGCAUGAUGUCUUGAAUUGUUCUAAUUGUUCCGCACUCAACUUCGCUCGAAUUGCAGCUAGAGAUGAAUUUGCAUGUGAGCAGUUGUUCACCCGUGAUGAAUAUACCUCUGCCUCUGGCCAUACCAGCUCCACGUUGGAUCCCAUUUCCUCAAAUACAAUGUGAAAUAACGUGAACAUAUAUACUACCACGUAUUUGCACAAUCACAACUAGUCAACCAGGCACAUUACAACUUUUACAAAGUACAUGAGCAUAUGGAUUACUCAUCACAGGCUUUAACAUCAUCAAAGCAAUAUGACAAUUUUUGUGCAAAUACCUGUUAAUGCAAUGAUUAUGUGAAUUACAAACAAUUUCACGUGUUUUAUUUAUGGAUCCAUACUCGUGUGAGUGCAAUGUAGGCAAGUUCUGCACUUCACACACAUGACAAUUAUUGUCAUCUCAUACACAACCCAAAAUAAAUAAAUAAGAAAUAUAGUGGAAGGAAGCAAAGCAAAGCAUGUACUCUGCUAUCUGCUUGCUAAGCAAUUGCCACAUCCUUCUUUCUUUCUACCUUUUUCUUCAGUCACCCACAAUCGUCAUAGAUCAACCUUCAUUUCAAAUGCUUUGCACUUUUAUUCAUGAGUUUAUUAUUAUCUGUUCUCAUUUCUCAUAGGCAAAUUUAGUAACAAAUGAAAUAAUAUUUAUUUCACAAAAUAUAUAAAUUCUAGUGCCAGAGAGGUACUCUUCACUCUGCACUGCUUCAAAUGUGGAAGGUUUUGAGAUGUUAUUGACAUGUGAUUGACUUUAUUUUCAUUCGUUUUUUAACAUAUACCCAAGCAAAAAUUAACAUGCAAUUGAAGCACAAAUAAGAGAUGCCAAAUCCAACAACAUUGAUGGUACAAAUUGGGGAAAACCAUUACUCUAACCCUAAACUCAAAUUCCUUACAUUACUCAUCAAAUGCUUUGCAGUUCUAUUCAUGAGUUUAUUAUUAUCUGUUCAAAUGUUUCUCAGGCAAAUUUAGUAACAAAGGAAAUCAUAUUUACUUCAUAAAAUAUAUAUAUAUAUAUAUAUAUUCUAGCGCCUCUUCUUAAUCUGCACUAUGCACUGCUUCAAAUGUGGAAGGUUUUGAGGGCCUCCUCCAAUUCAACACCAUUAUCUUAUUCAUAUCAUUAUUGACAUGUUAUUCACUUGUUAUUGACUUCAUUUUCAUUCUUUUUUUAACAUAUACCUAAGCAAAAAUUAACAUGCAACUGAAGCACAACGAAGAGAUGCCAAAUCCAACAAAAUUUAUGGUACAAAUUGGGGAAAACCAUUACUCUAACCCUAAACUCAAAUUCCAUAAAUUACUCACCAAAUGCUGGUUAUUGCAAGGUGUCUGUGUGGGGUCUUUCUGUUUCUUUGCUCCACAAAUGGAACCUACCACUUCCAACGAAUACAGCUUUUCCCCUUCCCCUUCCACUGCUUCGCCUCUUCACUGAUUUGGAAUCCACACCUUUGCCCCUUCUACUCCAAAUAAAUACUUUCUCGGGGUCUGGAGAACGGAGUGGCGAAUCGUUGCCUUCAACUGUCGUUAGCCGUUGCCUUCAUUGGGUAUCUCAGACCUCUGUGUUUUAGAGAGAUGAGUUCUUUCUGUUCAAACUUCGAACUUGCCUCUUCUUCUUCUUUUUCGGACGUGUUUCCCUCUUCUUCUUCUUUUUGGACGUGCUGGAUAUUCAAUUCGGGUUUGGGUUCCUUACCUACCCAAUUGUGAAACUUUAACUCAAUUCUCCCCAGCCCUUGGAUUAAUCUGAUGGCUAUAAAGUGAACCCCUUAUAACUUACCCCUUAUAACUUUCCACUCAUUAUAGUCUUGGCCAGGUAUGGCGGCCAUGCUAGUAAGUGUUGGGUCUUUGACCCAACUUAAGCUAAAUGGGUCAUAAGAUGACCGAUCAUCUUAUCUCAUAAGGAUAUAUAAGUCAUGUUAUGAUUUAGGAUUUUAUAGGGUUUCCUUUGUAAGAGGUAAGAGAGAAACAAGCUCUCUCUCUCUCUACACAAGGAGGUCAGCCAUAGCAAGGGAAAGGCUCCUAGCACUCUCCUCUCUCUUAUUAUAUCAUCCUUCCAAGGACAGCUUUGGUAUGGUAAAGUUGGAGGUUGCACACUUUGUGCACUUUGGUAAGAACUCAUCCAAGGGAGCCAAGAUUAAAUUGGUUAGCUGUUGGAUUAAAUUGGUUAGCACGAUUCAACGGUUAAUAGAUAAAACUUCACAUAAAAGUCAUAUAUAAGGCCCUCACUAUAGAAUGACUCGUUAGUUUAGUCUCUUGUUACAUAUCAAAUGUUAGAGAUAUUUUUUAAUAAGGAUCUGCCAUACCACAUAGUUGGAUAAGACAUUAUACACGGCUUUUGUAAGAGCAUCUCCAGCGCUCCAAACUAGCCCAAGCAGCAGGGGGGCCUAAGUCUAGGAAGCAGCUCCAGCUCGCAAGAUUCAACCCAGGCAAGGUGUGGAACCCACGAGGAGAUCUAGCCCGUCACCUUGCCUUUGGGUUUCAGUCAAGCUGAUGUCAACGAAAGAAUUUCAAAUUUUUUUUACCGUUACAAUGUACGCGCCAACGAUAAAUUUUCUUUGGAUUUCUUGCAUUGAUCCACAGCUACCAAAAACCAACAGCUACAAGCCACGUGGCUUCUCCAGGAGCCUCCGAUCCAAAAAUCAUGUCAAAUCUAACGGCAGUCCAUUUUUUGGCUAAAAAUAUCAAAAAAUUAUGGAAACAUGUUCUAUAAAUUCCUACAAAUAUUAUUCACUUCCCACACCAAAUCUUCAUACAAAUUCAUAUCCUUUCAAUAUUUUUCACUUUCCAUACAAGAUUUUCUACUACUAAGUUUCGUUUGUGUAAAAAUACAAAUGACCUCUUCUAUCGAAGCCGGAGGCGCGUGUACAACCGUGGAAGAUAUUUUGUUGCGUGAGUGUUGGGUCAAAGUUGGUCAUUCCCUGAUCACGGGCAAUGAGAUGAAGUCCUCUCGUAGGAGUUUCUGACAUCGCAACGAAAGUAAGAUGUGAUAUGAAAAUGUAAGGAAUUUGAUGAGAGGAAUGGGAUUUGAGGAGUUUGAUGUAGGAAUUGAUGUAGGAAUUGAAUUUGGGAGGUAUGUAUAUAAGAUUUGAGGGUAUGUGUUUAGGGAUUUUGAUAAGAGGAUUUGAGGAAUUUAGAUUUGAAGGAUUUGGAUUUGGGGAAUUUAAAUAUGAGGAAUUUGAUUAGGGUUUGGGUUUGAAUAUGUGAAAUUUGAUAUGAGAGUUUAGAGACAACAGAUGAUCGAUUGCUCUGAUACCAUGCUAAAAUAUGAUAUGGUUUGAAUACUUUAGGUUGAGUUUUAUUCUUUUCCAUAAAAAGGUAUAUAUAGGAGUUUACAUGAGUGCUUUACAAAGAAAUAGAUACAAUAAUCAAUUAGGAUAAUAUCUCCUAAUUAUACAAUAAUUUGUCAACUAUAUAGAAUAGGAAAGUAAAUUCCUUAAUUAAUCAAGAAAAUAAAUCUCAUUGAUUAAUUAGGAGACUAACGUCAACAUUUAUAAGCCAUAAAAGAGCAGAAAAAGAGGUACUUAGGAGAUUUUAUACGUCGGACUAAGGUAAGCUUAAAGGACUAUAUCAAAAAAAUAAGGGACCAAGAAGCAAGACAGAGAAGUUGUUAUGCAAACCCAUUAAGUUUAGCAGUGAUGAAUUUGUAAAAAUCAUUCUAGUGGAUUCUGCCUUCACUAUUGAGUUCUUAUUGAGGUUCUAUCUGAAAGGAUCUGGACAUGAAGGAGACCGCUUAUUAAACAAACCGUGGAUGUUUACAGCCUGACAUGUGGUUGCUUGAAAAUCAGCUCCCAUUCUUUAUUCUUGAGGAUCUUUAUCACACAUACAUAAUAACCGACUCUUUUAGGAAUUAUUACAGUACUCAUGAUCAUGAGAGGCUUUCAAUAAUUAAUAUUUCUAAGAAUUUCUUCACAGCCGGAAUAUUGAAUUUGGAGGGGAAGGGAGACAAAUGGAACAGAAUAUCAUCUUCUUCUAGUGUUGGAAAUUUUAUAUUAUUUAAUAAUAUUUAAUUUCUAUUGUGAAUGAAAAAUAAGUUUCUUUAAGAAACGUGUGUCUUAGGCCAGUUUUUCUAACUGGUCGGCUUCCUUAGAUUUGUGCCUAUUGCUUUUCAAAGUAUAAUGAUGCAAUGGUUGUAUCUCGUUCAGGCAAAUGGAAGGUAUAUAGCAAUUUAUAGAACAAUACAGUAAUCCAGAAGAAAUAUUAUGAAAUGAAAAGAAUAAAAAGUAAAAAAAGAGAAAGAAAGGAAUUCCCACCUGCAAUGUAUAUGUAUGAAAGGAAGGACCAAGUUUGUUUUAAAAUGGUAAGAACAAGUUGAUUUUAAAUUGGGUUCAGAUCAACUCAUAGAUUUCUUGCCUUUUCUGUUCUCCUUCCUUGGACAUGAACUGUUUAAUCUUGGACUCUUCCCCAUCAUGUUGGGCCUGUCUUCUUCUUGAGGAUUGUAUAGGCCUAGGAAAUGCUUCGGGGUAGUUUUUGUGUUUUGGGCAUUGGGACCCAACUUCACAAAAAGAAAACAAAUUUGACCAAAACACAAAUUUGAAGGACAUUGAAAUUGUACCCGUAGGAUAGAUUAAAACACUAUAAGGGAGGUAAAUAGUACGUUUACAGAGUUUAAGUGUAAUAAAGGAAUAAAAACAUGCCCAGAGAAUUGAUAAGUGAUAUCAAUUCUUGAAUAUACGUGAAAAUUAUUUUAUGUGGUUAAACCCCACCUCUGGGGAAAAUCCACGGAACUUCUUAGUCCAACUUCUAUCACUUAUCCUAGACACAUUCUAGAUAAUGUUUGCCAACCUCUUCGUAACUCAACUUCUGUCACGAGAUGAUCUUUCAACACUUUAUGUCGAACGCAAUACUGGUCACGAUUUCUUCAAGCUCGCCGGAGUUCUUCCAAUUCUCCUUAUAUUGAAUCUGAUACUAGUCACGAUCGAUUCAAGCUCAUCGGAGAAAAAUCGCCACAACAAUCUUGGUGCCCUCAACCGUAUGAGUCACUGAACAUGCAAAUGAAUACAAUAUGAAUGAUAAAAGUGUUUGAUAAAUCACCAAGUUAUGGAACACUUGAUGAUUUAUCUCAAAUAAAAAUUCAGCUUUCCAAAGUUUAUGAAUUGAAAAUAUGACCGUUAAAGCUCUCUAAACAAAGAAGACGAAGGUCUUAUUUUAUAGACUUUUACUUUACAAGAAAGAAAACACGUUGAAAACCAAAUCUCCAAUUUCCAAGGCUUGACAGAAAAUCACAAAAUUAUCUUUCCUAUUCUAGAGAUUGGUCACAUGAAGUCCAACCAAUAGGAAAUGAGAUAUUUAAGAAAGGAAGAUUUUGAUCAAUAUCAAUAUCAAAUGAAUUCUUAUACGCCUAGUCAAUUGUUAUGGGUAUCUUGACUCCUUGAUAUUGUGAUAUGAUUGAAACAUGAUUUCCACGUUAGAAAAUUAAGGGGAUGUUAAAACAUGAAGGUAAUAGGAGAAUCAAAUUGAUUUGGGCCAAAAUUGCCUAAAAAGAAAACACUCCUUAAUAAACUUCAAUUUACUUUUAAAAAUAGUAAAACGUGAUUGAAUCGUUCUUUAAAACAAUUCCCUAAUAUACAUGCAUGAUAGUGAUAUCACUUACCUUUGAAUCAGAUGGCUUUCACGGGUCAAGCCACAAGUUUUUGUCUUGGGGAUUGCUGAGCUUCAUCAAUCCUGCCAAUGUCAAUUUUGCCCCUAAGCUCUCUCAAAGCACGUUUACAACCUAUGCUAACAUAUAUUAGAGUUUAUGUUAGUAUCAAGAAAAUGCCAACACUAAUUUCGUAACACGUAGAAAUUGUUAGAGAUUGAAGUUUUUAUCAUUUUUUCUUCCAGACUCUCCACCACUCACUAAUAUAGUUUACUCAUGUGAUGAGUUUACAAAACCUAUUUCUCUACUCUCACAAAGACUAUACUUAGGGGGGUGUAUUCAAUUAGGAUUCUAAAGCGUUUAAAAAGAUUUUGUUUAAGUGCCAGCUUUCAUAGAACUUGAUGGAACUUUAUAAUUCGUAUAGAACUUGAUAGACUUUCAGAAGACUUCUGUAUAAUUUUUUAAUAAAACUUUCUUAAGCUUUCAUAGAACUUGAUAGGCUUUCAUUCCAAACUUAUGUAGAUGGUAUAUUUCAUUUUAUCCCCAUCCUUGACAUUUAAAGAAAGAAACUUGAAUUUUUUCAAUCAAAUUUGUUUUUGUUACCAAAGCAGCAAAAACAAAAAGUACUUGUUUGCGAUGGAAGAACAUAUGCACAGUUCAAAAUGAAAAGAAUAAGAAGCAAAGUACCUAUUUGACCAAUGAAUGCUGUGUCAACUAGAGAAGCAAUUGGAUCGGCUGUCAAAGCCAAUGCUGCAGGCAAUGCAUCGAUGGUCCAAAUUGCAAUAAAAAAAUAUUUUGAAUAAUGGCUCUUGCAGACAAAGACCACAUAAAUUCUGAACUGGUCUAGCUUGAAUAAUAAGGUUAGAUUAGCCAAUUGAUGAGAUUAAAAGCAAAGCAAGUUGAUGAAUUUAUCAUCAACUAUUUAAUAACCACAGUCCUGAUCUCUUGGACCCCUGUAGUCCAAGAGAUUUAUGGUCACCCACCGUUGGAUGUAAAUUCAACGGUUGACUUGAAUCGGGUAAUAAUCAUUUAUGUCAUAUUGCAUUUAUAUAUAUCAUUUUGAACCAUUGGAUUAAUAUCCAACGGUGGGUGACCACAAUCUCUUGGACUCCUGUGGUCCAAGAGAUCGGGACUGUUAAUAACCAAUAGAGUAUUUAAACAUAAACAACAAUGUUUGAUCAACAAAACAAAUAGUCCAAAUAUCAUCCAAAAAACAAUAACAAAAAAUCAAUCAUUCCAAACAAACUAGUCAUUCUCAAAAACUCUCAAAAAACCCACUCAUUCCAAAUUGUAGGAUAUCCAAUUUGAGCACUCCUCAGGAGACAUUUUCAAAAAUGCAUCCUUUUUUGUGUUACUAUGCAACAAAGAGAGUGCUUUAUAACGAGCAUGUUCAUCCAAAUUUGGGGUCUCCUUAAUGGCAUCCCAUAUAUAACUCCGCUGCUCUCUCUCUUUUUCCCUUUUUGCCAAUAGGUUAUGGACCUCCCGGAAGUCGAUGACAAUUGAAUCAAUGCUAAGGCUAAUUCUUCCCAUAGCUUGCUGGGUGGUCACAUUUGAGAUAGCAUUCCCUUCCAAAUAUGUUCUAGUUCGUUUCCUCUAGUAACAAGCAUAAAUCCUAGUAACAAGCAUAAACCCUAACCCCAACCUAUAACCUAAUAACAAGAAGAAAACCCAACGAGGUAUUGAUCAAAGAAAAAUUAGGGAGCAUACCUUCACAGAUGGAGGAAGGAAGCUGUUCGUCUUCGCAGAGAGAAAAUCUAGGGAAAGAGAAAAACGUCUUAUGAAAUACUUGGGGGGGAGGUUGGAUUUAUUUUGGUCUUUUUUAUUUAUAACUCUCCCCUUAAAACCUACGUAAAUUUAUCACUUAAUGAAAUCCUUCCAAAUAUAUGACCUUUCGAAUACACCUAGAUUUGAUUCAACUUUUUUAUAAUCAUAAUUGAAUACACCCAUAUUUGAAUGGACUUUUUAAAAGUUCAUAUAGGUCCGAAAUGAAUAUACUCAAACUUGUAAAACCUCUUUUAAAGUUUGUAUAAAUCCAAAUUGAAUACACCUGGAUUUUUAAAAUCUUUUUAAACACUUUAUAAUCCUAAUUGAAUACACCCCCCUUAUUCUCAAAAGACUAUAUUACUUUACCUCUAUCUCUGUGAAAUGUAAAAAGUUGAAACUUUAAUGUCAAACCUCAACAAAAGAUGAACUUUCAUCAGUUACGUUGAAUUUGGAUUUGUUGAACUUAAGUGGUUUUAUUUUCUUUGUCAGUGUUUGAUGACUUAAUUUGGUAUUUAUUUCUUCUUUUUUUUCCUUGGAAAUGUGUUCCACCAACGUGAGGAAGAAAAAUAUGCACAAAUUAAUAUAUUUAAUAGAAGCCCAAGAUUUCGGAUGCAUAUAAUUUCUACAAAAAUCUACAAAGUUUUUUACUUUACAAACUUCUUAUGUCUACCAAUUUCUACUAAAAUUAAUUUCUCUGUGGUGCUCAAAUUCAUCAUAUGUGUGUCGUUAAUUUUAUUGAAAAUUGGAAGUUCCCAUCAUUUUUGUUUUUUGGGAAUUUUCUGAACCAAGGAAAAUCAAGUAAAAUUAAUAAAGCCUAAAUUGGAAAGGGAAAAUAUCUAGAGGAUGCAUUGUAGGAUUGCUCAUGCCAAUAAUUGUACCCUCUAAAUAUAUAGAGACAUAUUUUUUUUGUUUUCAUGACAUGUGGUCCUAAAAUUAUUGUGUAAAUCUUCAAUCCUGAACGAUGCACCUAAAACUCAUCCACCCAUUCUCAGGCCAAUUAUUGCACCUAGUGGGCUCUCGACCCCCUCUCAAAUUUAACCACAUAUUUUAUGGACCAUCCAGCUGUGAGGUACAUUCCCCCCACAUGCCACAAUUGUAUAUUCACAAUUACGUCUGAUACAUCACAUCAUGCCACUUGCCUCAAAUGAAUUUAAGUGAGUGAGGCAGUUGGAAGUAAUUAAGCUCUAUAUUGGUGGGUGGAGUGUUACUUCUCGGUUCCCCUCAUCAUUCGUCUAUAAAAUGGUGAAGGCAGUUGCUAUUGUUACCAUAAGAGCCAGCUCCGACUUCCUUUAAUUUCUUGCUUCAUAUCCACUAGCUACAUCUGUUACCAAGUUAAUUUCAGUUCUAAUGGGGUUUCAUCUCCCACUCAUCUUUGCUCUUCUCAGUGUAAGCUCUGCAAUUUGAUUAACUUUUCCAUUCUCUCUCAUUGUACUCUAUAUAAACGAAAGUUUUGUGUUCCUAUUGUUCUCUCCGAUUUUAUUUAGUACGUACUUAAGUGUCGUCCACUAAUUAAUUAUACUUUGUGAUUUGAUUUUAAUUUGAGUUUGAAUUAAUGUUGCAGCUAGCAGCAGUGGCACUGGCAAACCAUGCUGCUCAACCAGCACCUCAACUUUACUGGAGCUCCGUCCUGCCAAACACACAGAUGCCAAGAUCUAUCAGUGAACUUCUGCAUCCUGGUUUGUGUUGAGCUCUUUAGAAUCUUAGAUAUCUCUUCUACCUGCCAUUUUACUAAAAUAUGUUCCACCACAUAUUUAUCAGUUAACCAUUGUCAUUACAUGAGUGACACAUAUUCACAAAUCGGCUGAUCACUUAUUUUCCAUUAUGACUUGAUAUAUAAUUUGCAGACUCCACAAAUGAAGAAAAGAGCACAAAUGACGUUGGCAAACCUGAAACUUUCCCAUUGGGCAAUCAACAUUACUCCAGUCAAAAACAUUAUGGAGGCAUACCUGAAACUUCCCCAUUGGGCAAUAAACAUUACUCCAGUCAAAAACAUUAUGGAAGAGGCAAACCUGAAACUUUCCCAUUGGGCAAUCAGCAUUACUCCAGUCAAAGACAUUAUGGAAGAGGCAAACCUGAAACUUUCCCAUUGGGCAAUAAACAUUACUCCAGUCAAAAACAUUAUGGAAGAGGCAAACCUGAAACUUUCCCAUUGGGCAAUCAGCAUUACUCCAGUCAAAAAAAGUAUGGAAGAGGUGCUUCUCCAUCCGACAAUCAACAACUCCAUUAUAAAGACUUAGCUAUUUUCUUCUUGGAGAAGGACAUGCGCCCUGGCACAACAAUGAAGUUCCAAUUCC